RNAcentral lists this long non-coding RNA (66789 nucleotides) under Medicago truncatula (barrel medic). RNAcentral describes it as "long non-coding RNA (MTRU_LNC003770)". Lineage: Eukaryota; Viridiplantae; Streptophyta; Magnoliopsida; Fabales; Fabaceae. The record is from RNAcentral.
UUUUUUUUUUGGUACAAUAGAGGGCAAAGCCCAAGAGAAAAGAAACUACGAAAUUAACCGGACAUUCCUAGGCAUGCAAGCCCCGGAAAUAUCAUCAAACAUGAGCUUUCGAAGCUCAAUAGGAGGAGUCUCCAAAAUAAUCAAAUUCAAAUGAUUCACAGAAAUGCUAAAAUUAGCAAGCCAAUCGGCACUUCUAUUUCCUUCACGCCAAUGCCAAUCCAUUCUCAGCAGCUUCCUGAUACGAUGAACUAAAAUAGGCACAUUCCCAUUAAACUUGAACUCGUCAGAAAUCAUGUCGAUCAAUAUCUUCGAGUCACUUUCCACAAUAAGAUGAUCAAAAUGCUCCCUCCAAGCCAUCUCUAUACCCAAAUACAACCCCCACAUCUCAGCAUGUAAGGCAUCACAAGCUCCAAUCUUCUUAGUGUAGCCUUUAAUCCAUUUACCAUAUGCGUCACGAAAAAUACCACCACAAUCGGAAAUAUGACCCAUAUCCUUGCAGGCACCGUCGCUGUUGAGCUUGAUCCAACCUUCCUGAGGUCGUUUCCAUCCUAUGUAGAUAGUGUCUGUAACCUUAGGCCCUCUAUGAAAGAGCUCCAGGUUGUAGUCUUCAAUAUCUCUAACAAAUGUUUGGUUAGUAUAUUUGGAUUAUUCGGCCUUUGGAAAUCCGCUUCAAAGAUAGUCUUGUUCCUCCAUUUCCACAAAUACCAACACGUAGUCAUAAAGGUGGUCUGCCAUCUAGAUGUGCUUGUCCCAACCAUUUUUCUCUUAAGGUCAUUGGAAAACCAAUCCCUACAAUCAAAGGAAAAGAAGUUAGUUAUAAAGUCGGAAGGAACAAUAUGAAGCCAUACAUGAGUUGCAUGAAUGCAAUCACGAAGCACAUGAAGGACAGUUUCAUCAUCAUUUCCACAACAUGGGCAAGUAGGAGAAAUCCCAACACCCCAUCUACUUCUUCGCAAAUUAGUAAGGAUUCGCCCAUGAAUAGCCAACCAAAUAAAAGUUUGAACGCGAUGUGGGCCGUGCCACUUCCAAAGAAUUUUCCAGUCACCCUCCACCGUUGGACAAUUUUGAUGCUGCAGAGAAUAAGCAUUUUGAACUGUGAACUGGUGGGUAUUGGUUCCACUCCACCCAAUAGUAUCAGGACCAUCCUCAUCUGUAGGAGCCGGGAGAGCAAGAACCCUACUAACAGUGUAAUCUGGCAAUGACUUUCUUUAUAUCCUCUGAAAAGUCACUUAAUUGGUCAAGCAUUUGGAGUUAGUUUACUUAGUUUUUCUAUUUGGAAAAAUAUUUUCAAACUGAAAUUAGAAAAGCAUAUCAAACCAAGUUGUUGAUCAACUUUGCUUAAGAUCAAAGUGGCAAAACUCCAUUUUAUUUAAUCUUCUUUUCUAUGAUUUUCUCUAUUUUGAUUCUAUCAAAAUCUGCAAUAUAGUAUUAGAGAGAAUAAUAAUUAUUCCGCAACAUUCUUUAUCAAAAUUUUCUUUAAAAAAUUUCAUUGAAGUCUCGUUGAUAUUCCAAUUUUUUUUCAAGAUUCUUAUUGAGUCCAAUUUCUUACCCAAUUUUUCUUCGUCAUUGUACUCAGUGCCAUUCUCAUCGCACUUAUCUUAUAUACCCUCUAAUCUCGAUCCGUCAUUUUCUCUCAAGACUGUCAAAGGGUCAUGUGACAAAUUUAACCAUCAUGAAAACAAGAACUCCAAAGAACAAGGUCAGUUCCUUAUAAUUGAGGUGAAAUUUUUAAUGAAGAUUUCCAAUUAAUUAAUUCUUUCCUUGUUGUCUUGGUUCGUCGAGUCCUUUCCUUGUUGAAAUUUUUCGACAUUUCUUUUAUGUAUUUCCGAAGCUUGAAGUGUUGUUGUUUACACCUUAAUGUUUGCGGGUACUAUUAUAGAUGCAAAAGUUAGUGUUGUUUACACCUUGAAGUGUUGAAGUUAGUUAAAUUAUUGAAGAGUUUUUUUUUUUUUUUUUUUACAUUAAAUUAUUUAAGAGUUAGUUAGUUGGUCUAAUUGACUAUAUAAAUCUUAGUCUUGAUGUAACAAUUCUCUCAUAAUCAAUAUUAUUUCUAUUUUACUUUUCUAUACUUUUAUCUCAGUUAUGAGUUCUAUAAAAAUUGUAAUAGUAUAUUUUUUUUGUCUUAAUAUAAUAGUCACUUUAAAAUAAGAAUGCAACAUUUAUUUUUUUUCACUAUUAUACCCUUAUUUAUUCAAUUUAUCCAACUUAACUUCUUAACUAACUAAAAUUAUUAUACCCUUAUUUAUUCAAUUUAUCCAACUUAACUUCUUCACUAACUAAAAUUAAUAAGAAUAUUUUAGUAAAUAAUAUUAAUUUUACUAUUUAAAUCAACACAAUUAAUCAUUUCUUUAAAACUCGUGCACAACUCUUAAACGUUUGUUAUUUUGUCCUUGUGAGCUUAACUCAGUUGAUCUAGACAAUACACAUAAUAUAUGUAAGAAAAAAAAAUGUAUGUUAUUUUGAGAUUGAGAGAGUAUAAAAUGAAGUUAUUACAUGCCUAUGUUAUAUUUUUAAGUCCCACAUCGGCUGAUGUGAUGAGUAAAGUAUGCCGGUAAUGUUAUAAAAUGAGAUCACUUCUUUCCUCAUUAAUCAUGGUGGUAUCGGGGUCUAUUUGGUAAGCCUACUAAAUGAGUUUAUAGUUUAUAAACUUGUUUUGAUAAAAAAAAUCUGUUUGAUAACACUUUUUCAUCAAGAGCUUAUAUUUUAUUUCACAAGUUUAUAAGCUAUUUUUUAGAAGUUAUUUCAAGUAGCGUUUGAGCUUAUAGUCUUUCACUAUUUACAUUUUUUUUUUGUGAUUAUUUCAAUAUUUAAUGUCACCUUUUUUUUUUUUUUUGCGAAAUGAGACAUUAAUUUUGUGUGAAAAUAUCAAAAUUGUGGAGAAUAAGAACAUGGACAAUAAUUUUCUCCCACAAAAAAAAUGAGAACGUCACUAUAUAUAUAUAUAUAUAUAUAUAUAUAUAUAUAUAUAUAUAUAUAUAUAUAUUUUUGUACAAACUAUAUUUUAUUUAUUGUUACAUUUAAACUUUUUUACACUUUAUAUUUAAUUUUUUUAGGCAAAUGAAAAAAAUAUAAAUUAAUAUUUAGGAGUUAAAAAUUAAUUUAAUAAUAAUAUUAAAUUAACAAUUUUUAAUUAUUAAAUACUUUAAAUAUUAAUUGAUAUAAACUUUAUUAUGAAUUAAAAAUGUCCUUUUAUAUAAUUUUACAUCUAUCAGCUAUUGAACCGCUAAUUUUACCAAACAUUUCAAGUAGCUUAUCAGCUAUCAGCCAUCAGUUAUAAGUCAUCAGCUAUAAGCUAUUAGCUAUCAGCCAUCAUCUAUAAACUAUCAAGUAGCUUAUAAGCUAUCCACUAUUUUUGUCUAUUCAAGUCCUACAUCAUCUGAUGCAACGAGUAGAGUAAGCCGGUAAGGUUAUACAAUGAAUGGACUUCGUGAAUCAAUCAUGAUGCAUAAGUCAAAGAAUUUCAACUGAAUUAGUUGAAUUUGUUCAAUGCAGCCUAGAUGAGAUGUUCAUAUCUUGAAAAUUUUAAUGGUUUUCUCUAAAUUCUAAUAUGCAAUUGCUAAAUUAGUGUCUUGUUUUUAAUGUUUGGAGAGGUUUUGUCCCAUCGGGCAAAAACUUCUUUGAUUGAUCUUAAAAAAACAACUUCUUUUAUUGAUUGAAUAUUAUUAUUAUUAAAUGCAUGUAAGAUAUUUCUAUAUUUUUAAUUGAACAUAUGAAAUCAAAUAAUUUGUUGAUUAUCUCAUGAGAAAUAUAUAAAAAUAAAUAAAUUGUCAGAGAGAACACUGGAAUACAAGUAACUUUAAGAUGAGUUAAGGUAGCAAUUGGUUAUAGACAUUUUUGCUUUAGAAAAUGUAUCUUAGAAAUGGAUGGUGAAGUGAUUGUAUUUGGGACUGAAAGGAAACAAGACCUACAUUGAUGUGCAACUCAUUAAAGGGACAUUAAUUUCACAUAAGUCCUACAGGUGUGAAACAUCAUACAGACAUGUUGGUAAAGUAUCUUUCAGCUAAUUUUUACAAGCUAUUCAGGAUAACUUAUGAUAAGCACUUAAUUAAGCUAAUUAUCCAAACAGUGGUUAAAUGUAUGGAUUUUGUUUUGCAAUGAAGUGGUGUUUUCUUAUCAGAAAGUUUCAACUGCUUUCAAAUCAACCAAAGGAGAGAAUCAUCCAACAGUUGCUUCAGUUUUUGUAAGGUUAGCUGAUUUAUACAACAAAAUAAGUAAGUUCAGGGAAUCAAAAACUUAUUGUUAAAACGCACUUGAAUCACCCUAUCUAGACAAUAGACAUGAUCAAUAACAUAAGACCACAUGAACAAUUGCAUAAGACCACACCUGCCAGAAUCCAAAUACACGAUAUCAUCAUAUGCAUGCUGGGACUUGGGAAGGAGCCCAAAUACUCUACCAAAUGAAUCAGAAGUAUUCAAAAACAUUGAAAGAGACCAACCUGUUGAAAUAGAAGUGGGAAAACAUUCUCAAAACUUCAAGGCGUCGAAAUUAACCAGAACAACCAAAGAAACUCGAAAAACAAUACUAAGAUCAAGAUUGAAAAUAUAAACCAAUCCAACGGGUCAUUCUUGAAGAGAUCAGUUUGGAGUUGCAACAAAUCUAAAGUUUCUCAGGAUCGCCAAAAUAUGAUAUCAUUCUUUCUUCUUCUUAACCUAAUGGACAUUAUAUUCUAGCUUCUAUUCAUAAAAAGAAUUAUGAAAGGUUAUGCAUUUUUUUGUCAAUGUAUUUAGAAAUUUCGUAUUUUUUUCAUGUUGAAAUUUUUUGGCAUUUCUUUUCUGUAUUUUCCAAACUUGAAGGGUUGUUUGCAUGCGGGCACUACUAGAGAUGUAAAAAGUUAGUCAGAUACUCUCUCCGUUCCAAAUUGUAAUUAGGGUUAAUAGUGUUUUACCCUCCUGUAAUAUAGGUUAUUUCCGGUUUUACCCCCUGUAAAAGAUUUUUUUUGGAUUUCGUCCUUGUAAUUUGAUGAUUUUUGGUUUUGGACCUUCAUGAAUUUUGACAGUACAAAAUCGAAGAUAUGAUAGGGGGUAAACCGAAAUUUGCUCAAAUUAACAGGGGGGUAAACCGAAAUUUUCUCAAAAUACAAGGGGGUAAACCUAAAUUUGCUCAAAUUACAGGGAGUGAAAUUUUCCAUGAAGGUCCAAAACCAAAAAAUCUUCAAAUUACAAGGAUGAAAUUCAAAAAAAAUAUUUUACAGGGGGGAAAACCGGAAAUGACCUAUAUUACAGGGGGGGUAAAGCACUAUUAACCCUUGUAAUUAAUAUUGUGUGGGAAAGAUAUAUUAUGAGUUGUUUUAUAAAAUUAUCCUCAAUAAAUAAUAUGAGAAAGAUAAAUGAAGGAAUUGAAAGAAGAGAUAGUAAUAAAUAGUUAAAGAUAUAAUAGAAAAAGUAACAUUAAUUUUUCAUUGGUAUUUUAAAGCGACAUAUAAUUUGGGACAAAUAUUUCUUCUAAAGUGACAUACAAUUUAGGACGGAGGGAGUAUCAGUGAAAUUAAUUAGGAAUUAGUUGGUUUAAUUUAAUGUACUACUCAAUGUGACAUUUGACAAUACUCUCAUAGUCAAUACUCUCAAUUAUGAAUUCUUUCAAAAAUUGUACUCCCUCCGUCUUAAAUUGUAUGUCACUUUAGAAAAAAUAUUUGUUUCAAAUUGUAUGUCACUUUACAAUAUCAAUAAAACAUUAAUGUUAUUUUUCCGAUUAUAUCCUUAAGUAUUUAUUACUCUUUCUUCCUUCAAUUCUUUCAUUUAUCUUUCUCAUAUCAUUUAUUAAGGAUAAUUUUGUAAAACAACUCAUAACAUCUCUUUCCCACACAAUAUUAAUUACAUUUCUUAAUAUGUGUAAAAUGCCCAAAACGUUAUACAAUUUGGGACGGAUGGAGUAAUGAUUAAGCAUGUCAUAUGCUUGGAUAAAAUAACUUAAAAUCACCAUUAAGAAGCUUAAGUAAAAAAAAAAGUGGGGAUGAGUAAAGUAAAAGGAUAAGGAUACAUUAAGAAUAUUAGUUAUGUAAGAGAAGAAAGACCAAGUGAGUCUUAAGUUGUUGGAAGGAGUCCCACAUCGAGAAACCUAGAAAACAAGUUGGGUGGACAUAAGAUAUUAAAGAGGCAGCAAGGGUAAUGUUUAGUAUCAUAUUAAUCGACUGGAAUAUUUCUAGAUUGAAGAGUAUUACAGAAAGUUCUCAUUCUAACACUUUCUAUUUGAUGAAAUGAAAUUAAUGUAGGUCUCCUUCGGAUCUAUAUUGAUUUUAUCAACAAAAAGAAAAGGGAUUGAAGGUGUUUGAAAGAGAGACUUUCCAAUACAGUGUAAAAAUUGAUCGACGAAUUUUUUUUUUUUUUUUUUUUCUUUUAGCACUAAGCAUGAGAAGGUUUUAAAUCUCGGCCGCGAUCGUGUUAAAGUUGUCGUGAAUUUGGCUAUUAUGCGUGUUAUGUUACAAAUUAUGGUCAUCAUAAUAAAUCAUUUAUUAAUUCUAUCAUAUAAUAUAUAAUAACUUAAAUUGAACUAUUAUUUUAUAUUUUAUAAGAUGUUUGAAAUAAAUAUAUAUAAUAAUUACAACACUAUACAACAUUAAAAUAGGCGAUGAAAGUAUUAUGAGAUACUAUUGACUCAUCACAAUCUCUCGUUAUCUAUUUUUCCUUAGGAACGGUGUUGUGCUUUUCGCUUCCGUAAUGGUGUGUCGCAUUCGUAACGGAGUUUUAAGGUUGUAUCGGCUUUUUGUCAAGGUUGUAACGGACAUUUCGGUUGAUUUUUCAUCUCACCUUAAAAACAGAUAAAAACGGUAUCGGUGACUACCUAUAUCUUUUUGUUGCGGCUGUUUUCGUGGUAACAAACCCGUAUUUAAAACCUUGAGCAUGAGGUUAAAUAAUUUGUUGAAUUCUUAUUUAGCUAGCACUAAGCAUGAGACUUUUCAUUCAAGUCUCAUUGAUCUAUUCCUAUUUAAUUUCUACUUUCUAUUGAAUUCUUGAGUUUCUUUCAAGAUCCUUAUUGAGUCCGAUUUCUCACCCAAUUUUUCUUCGUCAUUGUACUCAGUGCCAUUCUCAUCGCACCUAUCUUAUAUACCCUCUAAUCUCGAUCCGUCAUUUUCUCUCAAGAUUGUCAAAGGGUCAUGUAACAAAUUUAACCAUCAUGAAUAUACAAUAGCUCCAAAGAACAAGGUCAGUUCCUUAUAAUUAAGGUGAAAUUUUUAAUUAAGAUUUCCCAUUAAUUCCUUACUUAUUGUCUUUUUUGUGGGGUCCUUUACCAUCCAAGAUUAGCAACAUUACAUUAAAUUUCAUAUACGGAAAACUCCAUCGUCAUUGUUGCGAAUUCGAUAAAAAUCACACCAAUAACAACUUGAUGUGUGGAUCAAGAGAUAAUCAAGCAACCAAAAUAAAGUGUAUGAAACAAUUAAAUACAAAGCCAAAAGUAUAAAACAACGGCGAGAAGAACACAAUGAAGAGAAGAACACAAAAGAAUUUGUUGACCCAGUUCGGUCCAAAUUGACCUAGUCUGGGGGAGAGAGCAGCCAUCCGUUCCACUAUAUGAUGAGUAACGUUACAAAAGAGAAAUCAAUGGGUUACAAGAAUAAGUCUCCCGCCUAAUUCUACCCAAAGUCCCAGCCUCUUCCAAUAACCAAGAGAGUCAAUCCUAAUAGUGUUUCCCAAGGUGAAUCAACCCUCAAACCCUAGUGUUUGUUCCAAAGAGACAAACUCUAUACAAACCCUAGUUUUGUUGUUGCCUUUCUAAACCCUUGUUUCAACCCUCUCUAUCUCAAAGUUUGCUAUGAUACAAGGUCUAUAUUUAUAGUGAAAGUAAUCCCUUAAAAAACUGAAACAAAUCUUCAAUAAAAAUACGUUUUAUUUUUAUCUUCAAUCGCACCAUCGUGGCACAAUUUUUCCAGUGAUUGCUCUAGAAUUUUGCUUCAACAAUCGUGGCACGAAGCUUCUCCAUCGUGGCACGAUUCUCCAGAAUUCUGAUUUUAAGUUAACUCUCACAAUCAUUCUUCACUAGAAGUCUUGUUUUCAAUGGAUGUGUCUGUAAUCUCAAAAGACUGAUCUUUCUUGAAGAGACCAGUUUGGAGUUUCAACAAAUCAUUUAAUUUGUUGAACUUCACAAGAUCACCUAAAUAUGGUGAUAUUAUUCUUUCUUCUUCUUAACCUAAUUGACAUUCUAGCUUCUAUUCAUAAAUAAAAAUGGAUGGUUAAGCAAAAUUCAUUCUUUUUGCCUAAUUGACAUUCUAACUGUUAUCCAUAAACGAUCUUCGUCAAUGGAGGACUUAGUUACACAUCUUCAGUGUUUGAUUCUUGUUUUCCAAUCUAGAAGAAAUUCAAAGUGAAAAUUUCUCUUGAUUUUGUUAUUGAUUUGAGAACUUAAACAAGCAUUGAAUGUAUAGUGAAUUUUGAUUCUUUUCUUAAGUGUUUCGUUCUUGUUAUCCUAUUUAGAGCAUGUUUGGAUUGAUUUAUUUGAGUUUAUCUAUUGACAUAAACAUCAGUGAUUAAGAGAUUGCACGAAUUCGUGCAAUGAACUAAGUUUUCAAAACGAGUUCACAUUUGCGUAAAGCUAUAACUGUGAAUUUCACCCCAAAGCUGCCAAGAAUUGUGAAGACGAAUGAAUCACAACAAAAGAGAAGAGAAGAUCAUUGACAAAAUCCAUGUGGAGUGGAACAAAUCUUGCUCUUCCCAUUCAGUACAUGCAGGAUUGUCACUUCUUGCUUCGUGAUAUGCUUUAUUGAGAAAAACUAGAGGAAUCUACAUGAUUUCACCAUUAUUCAUUCCACGAAGCACACCUUCCACUUGUUUCCAUUGGAGUUAUUUUGUAUUAUCAAGUUUAACAGGAAACACUUGCUUGAACGUUUUUGAUGCCGCAGCAGUUACACGUUGAGCCUCGGUUGGAGAAGAUGAAAGAGUAGGUUGAAGAGCAGACACAAUUCAAGGAUCAAAGGAGAAGCUCUUAGAUAAACCAACAGUGAUGAAGAAGAGAAAGCUUGAAAAAAUGAGGAGAGAGCUUAAAAACUUGUCAGUUUUGUUUGUAGAUAUCAUCCCUAGAUUUCUCUCAAUGGAAUAAAUUCAAAGAUGCCUUCCUUCCUUGAUUGCUAAAUAAAUCACAAUAUCCCGACGAAGACCAUACUAAAACUUCACGGAUGUGGAAUUCCAAUAACUUAGCUUAUUAUCAACUGCGUUCUUGUAAACGCACGCACACAAACAACAGUAGAGUGAAUUUUCGAAAACCAUGAAAACAAGACAAUAUAGGUUAACUUAAUCAAUAGUUAAUACAUGUUUCAAUGUGAACUGAAGUAAAUAAAUAAAAACAUCAGUACAUAAGAAAAGUGUAGAAAAGCUUCAGAGUUCAUGCUACCAUAAAAGUGACAAACAGCAACCCAACCAUACAAGAAUAUUUGAUUAGAGUGAUGAAAGCUAAGAAAGCCUUACUCUCAAAGACUAAUCACCAAGAAUUUUUGUGCUGAAUUUUUCUCUUAUUACGUACUCAAUUAUCUUGUUUGGUGAUAGAUUUGAAUUCAAUCAUUGUAUAAUUUCUGUGCAAGAAUCUCAACAAAUUGGUGCGGGGAGUGUGGAUCAGUCAUGUUUGCAGAUACCAUCCCCAUCUUUCUCUCAAUGGAAUCAAUUCAAAGAUACAUGGUGUGUGACAGUCAUAAAUGAGAAUUAACUUGACUUAGGUACCUUACAAUUGAAAUUAUAAAGAUUUGAAGUAUGAUGUCUUCAUCUUUUAUGUCUUACAAAUUUCAGGUUUGGAAAUAAUUCAGGAUCAUUAGGAUACAAGAAAAUGUUGGGACUUGGAAAUGAAUCCCACAUCGAGAAACCUAGAAAACAACUGAGUAGAUAUUAUAGUUAAAAGAAGUAGAGAGUGAUAAGUGGUAUUAUCUAAUCUACUGAUAGAAUUAUGAAUAGUAUUAUCCAUUGAUCUAUCUUCAAUUACGCUUUUUUAAACAAAGAGAUUAGUGGUGAGUUCCAUUAAACUCGCACUAUCUCUCAUGAAUCGUGGGUAGUUAGUAGGUAGAUAAAUGGAGAAUACUUGAACUUUUUGCUGGUAAUAUUUUGUGUAUUUAGAACUUAAAUAUGAUACUCAUUCCACCUCUAAAAUGCCCUGACCACAUGAGAUCAAAUAAUUUGUUGAAUGUUCUUAUAACAUCUUUAAUAGUUCUAUCAUGAAACUAUAUUUUGACGUCUUUAACAUUUAUUACAGAUAUGUCAACAUUAACUUAAGUUUUAAAGUUUUUUCCCUGUAGAGUGUAAACCAUUCAUUGGCUAGUCACUCUGGAUACAGAUUCCCUGGAUUCCUCUGUGGUAUACUAUAUGGUGGAAGUAUUGUCUAAAGACAUUUUAAUAAUUAAAUUUAGAGAAUAAAAGUUUUUGAUAGGAUUAUAGAAAAUAUCUUAUGAGGGGAGAUUCAUUGAUGAGUCUCUUAAUGAUAACCAUUUGAACUUCAUUACUUAAGUGCCAAUGAGUAGAAAUAACUAUAAGAUAAUUAAUUAAGUUCAAUUAUAAGUGAAUAUAGUUAUAAAGCUAUCAUAUAUAUGUUAUGAAUACUUUGGUGGAUGUGAAUGUGUCCUCAUGUUUAUCUUCUUCAGUAGAAUGGUCUUACAUUAUUUUCUUACACUUUUAUCAUUUGACUUAUUUGAUGAAUAUCACUCUUUUGUUAGUUGAUAAGUUUCUUACAUUGUAAAUCUAUCAUUUAACUUAUAGUAGCAUGUGAUGAAAGGCAGAAGUUUUGUUAACAGAAACUAAAGAGUACGUAUUGUGAGUUUUGAAUAAACUUCUUUGUAUAAAAUUGUGAAUUAGGCAAAGUGCUUCAAGUUGGAAUGCUUGUUUUGACCAUACUAAAACUUGAGGGACAUGAAACUCCAAUAAGUUAUAAAUCGUGUUCUUAUAAACGCACGCACGCACGGACACACACAAACAAGACAUGAUAUAUAGGUUAAUUGAAUAUAGUUAAUACAUGUUUCAAUGUGAACUGAAGUAAAUAAAAACAUUAACGUGAAUCAAACAUUAAUCUUCAAGUCACUUUGCCAGACACAACAAAAAUAUAGACGAGGGUAGUUGGAACUUGUACAAGUGAUUAAGAGAAAGUGAAUAAAUAGUUGAUUCAAACUCGCUCUCGGAUUGGGGACAAUGAUACUUAACGAUGUCAGCAUCAAUUCGCUUCAAGUGAUUAAGGUUAAGAGAAAGUGAAUACAACGUUGCUACCGAAAGCGAGUUGAAGUCUUGAUCAUAAAUUAGCAACCCGAUUGUAAAAUAAAAAUAGUAGCAUGUGAAGGGAAUAAGUUUUAGUAACAGUCAUGUGUGCAGAUAGCAUCCCAUCUUUCACUCAAUGGAAUAAAUUGAAAGAUGCCUUCCUUGAUGAAAUUAUAAAGAUUUGAAGGAUGUUGUCUUCAUCUUUCAUGUCUUAUAAAUUUCAGUUUGGAAAUAAUUCUAGAAAUAGUGAUGAAGCAUGUCAUAUAUAUGCUUGGAUAAAAUAACUACAAAUAAUUAUUCAUAAUUAUCUUAGAUUCUUGGUCACUGCCAUUUUGACGCUUAAUUAACGGCUUAAGUCAUAAAAUAUGUUUAGAUGGGUGUGUGUGUGUAUAUAUAUAUAUAUAUAUAUUAAAAGGAUAAGGAUAGAUUAAGAUUAUUAGAUAUAUGUGUGAACAUGUGUGAACACAUGAAAGUGGUAAAGCACACUUUUGUGGAAUUACCACAUCCAUGGCAGUAAACAUAUGGCAGUGUACAAGAGUGGGUAAAGCAAUUUUGUUGAAUUGGAAUAGCACAUGUCAGAAGUUUUUUUGACAAAAGAUUUUCGGUGCCACCAUUGUCAAUACAAGUUGGUUGGCUGUUGUGCUAAUGUCCAUGGUGCAUUCAAUGCAAUCAACUCAUGUAACCACUAUAAAUAGAAGGCUUUAGCGAUGAAGCAAACCAUCCCAAAUCAGUAACAACACAAGAACAAGUAAAGCUUGUUUAGAUAGUGAGAGAAAAAAUAUAGAGAGGAAAAAUAGUUUCUCCUGUGAGGUUUCUCCUAGUUUGUGUUAGUUAGUAUUCUCCUAUUUAUAAGAGAGAGUGGUAUUUGUACUCUCCUUGUAGUUAGAGAGAGGUCCUGUAAUUUCUUCCACUUAGUGAAAGUUCUCUACUCUUGCCCCGUGGUUUUUUCCCCUUAUUUGUUGAGGGGUUUCCACGUAAAAUAUUGUGUGUUCAGUUCCUCUUUUCUCGUCUCUUAUUUUAGCUGCGUGAUAAUAUUUUGUUACUCUGGUACCUAACAAUAUGUAUGUAGGACAGCAAUGACUGAAAGAGCAAAUACUCACAAAAUGAUGCUGGGCAGAAGUCCCACAUCGAGAAACCAAGAAAAUAACUUAAUAGAUACUAGAUAUAAAACAAACAAUGGGUCGAACGUUCAAUUCAUACAAUAUAAGCCAUUAGGGCUAAAUUACAAAGAGUAUAGUAAUAAUUUCCUAAAAUAGAAUGGUAGUAUUUUUGAUUUCUGCUUAAAUACUAUUAGCAAAACUUCAGAAUAUGUAUCUUGAACAUACCAUCUAUCCGAGUUAUUUAAACAUAUUAUUUAGACACUCACACAAAAAAAAAAAAAAAAAUUAAUUAUUUAAAAAAGAAAUAUUAUUUAAUUGUUUUCUCUUUAAUUUUUCAAUUGUGGUGUAUGUGUGUUCAAACCUUUGUGCUCAAUUAAAUAUUUUCCUAAAUUCAAUUGCAUAGUCUAUGGUCACAUUGGAUAGCACUUGAGUGAUAUUGGGGUGUCAAUGUCAUGUAAUAUUGGCUAACUUCAAUUUGAGUUUUUCAACUGUUACCUAGAAAAUGAUACUAGUAAAUGAUACUAGUAUGUGGGUUAUGAAUAUGAUGGAACUACGCAAAUUUAUACAAAUUCACCCUCUCAAUAUUCGGGGUUGAUUGAACUUACUGUACAUUAUUUGGUCUAGCACAACUCUUUCUAGUUCAAUUAACAUAGAUACUCGAUCAAACCGGAUACAUCCGUUAUGUGUAUGUUAGAUUUUAAGUAGUCAUUGUUAUUUCGUCUUUAUACAUAGAAAAACAUUGGGUUUGUCAUAUUUAACCACUAUUAUAUUGGUCUAAAUUCAUGUUUCUAAUAAUUAAACUUCGAGAGGAAAAACUUUUUCAUCGGAUUAUAGAAAAUAUCUUAUGAGGGGAAAUUGAUUGAUGCGCGAGUCUCUCAACAAUAACCAUUUGAUCUCCAUAUGUGUAGAAAUAACUAUAAGAUUAUUGAGUUCAAUUAUGAGUGAAUAUAUAUAGUUAUAAAGCUACCAUAUAGUGUAUUCAUUGAUAAAGUGUUUUCAUUUAUAGAUUGUUGGUACCUAUAUCAUUUUUUUUUAUUACAUGUUAUGAAUACUUGGUGGAUGUGAACGUGUCUUCAUUUUUAUCUUCAUCAAUAGAAUGGUCUUCCAACUUCUAUGUGCAUCUUAAUCAUUGAAAUUAGUGGAACACUAAUGACAUUAUCUUAAUUAGACCAUUAAUAUACCUGUAUUUUAUUAGUUCUGUCCUAUAAAUAGGACUCUUGUAAGAAUGUACAAAGAACUUAGUAUUUCUAACUUGGUAUUUCUAAGUUGUUGUUAAACUUGAUCGACAAUAACACAUGAUCGACGACAAAAUAUCAACACCAAAUAUGCUGCAACCAGCAAACUGCAUAGGACCGCCAGAAGGAAAACUCCCCGACACACUAAAAACACACCCAACAGCAACACAAAGCUCGCAAAAAGAGUGCAACAGCUACAAAAACAGAACUUUGCAGACCUGCAUUAUCUACAUCAAAACCUAGAUAUUCAAUUGUCAUCCAUCUGUGAUCCUUCAUUUAUUAACAAGUCGGCUAUUUGAUUGGCUUCCUUUUUUAUAUGAACAAAGCCCACAUCCAUCAAACUCUACAUGUUUUUUCAUUUUGUUGCUCAAGAAUUUCAGAUUAAAUGGACACCCAUCACUACGCCCCACCCAAUGUUAAGCAUUUUAAUGUCCAAUUCUGUACUAAUCUAAUAACCUUUCAACCAAUAUUUUCUGCUGAAAGGACAACUAGACUGCAAAAACAAUUGCCUUAAACUCAGAUUCAUUUGAGCCUUUUAAACCAAUUGAUGUUGCAAACAUCGGCUUCAUCUCACACAAUGAAUUCCUCAGCAGACCACCUAUACGCGCAGCUCCCGGCUUCCCUUUUGACGAUCCAACCACAUUCCAUUUUCAAACAUUUUGUGGAGGGGGACACCGUACUGCUGACAAUCUACUACCAACAAUCUCUUUCCAUGUUUUAAUCUCUUGAAUUUUAUACAAAUGGACCGCGUGAUACACACACACACAUUCUAUGAAGGGUUGGACACUUGAGAGACCACCCAAUCCCCAACACCACAUCACAUUGGUAACAAGCGCCAUGACAACUUCUGAUAAAUCCUAUCCCCCUCUUACGAAAACGCUCCAAAAGAUUGAAAGAAAAACACUCAUCACCUAAUAAAACACCAGAGCACUACCAAUAACAAAUCUUAGGCAUAAAAACACUCACCACCUAGUAAUUCUAACAUAGCUACCUAUAGGGAUAUCAAGGACUCCAUCAUCUGAUCCAAAACCCCAUUAUAAGUUUGAUAAAAAAACACUUGCUAGUUCCAAUCCAUUUGAACUCAAUAUGCAAUAACAAUAUCCUAAGUACUCAAUAUGUCAUACAUCAACAAAUCUCAACACAAGUAUAAUAAUCAUAUACUCAUUAGAGAGAACCUAUCACUAUCACAUUUUCUUAACCACAUACUCAUUAGAGUGCAAGUAAAAUAAUUCUUAGAAACCAUAUACAUCCACAAUGCAAUAAAGAAGGCGCAGUACAGUUUUUAUAAUGGUACUAGUGCAAUGGUCUUUUUUCAUUGGCAAAAUUCCACAGAGAUCGAAGCAAACAUAGAAGUUAACUAAAAAUAAAAACCUUUUCUAAAAGUUUCAACAGAAUGCACUCUGUAGUUUGUGGAUGUAAUGAAUGACCUGUCCUGAAGAAUGAAAUCAUUCAACCCCACGCCUUCCUCUAUAAUCAUUAUAUAAAAGAAGAGCUUCCUUCAUUAUCUCUGGUCGAGCCACCGCUUUGGCUCUUUCUCUACCUGAUGGAUGGCUAACUAAAAACCUUGCAAGCACAGGAUAUUUCACAGGAACAUCAAACAUUGCCAUCUUCUCAUAGUAUUUAGGAGCUUGCCGGGGAUCAUAGCCAACUGCUGCCAUUAGUAGAAGCCCAAUGUAAUCCGCUUCAAAUUCAAACCUGCAAAUUGUGAAUAAAUUGGAUUGAGAACAAGCAAAAAGGACCGUUGGUUUAGAGAAGAUGAAACACAUUAUUCUACUUCCAUACUCCUUGUAAGGUGCAACUCAAAAUAAACCAAAGAAGCCAUGUCAAAUCAUGAUGCUAAAAGGAAGAACAAGUAGUACAAAUAACAAACGUACGUAAGAACACAUGACAUUAAUAAACAAUUAAAGAACAAAACGGUAAAUCAAUUGAUUAGAAAAGAGAGAUAAUGAAUUAAUCUUACCGAUGAUCAAUCCAAUUCCUCACUGUUUGGUAAAAAUCAAUGGUGACAAAUCGAUUAAGCACACGGUGUAUCAUAGAAAUCAACUCGACCUUUGUACGCCUUUCACAGCCAUGCCGUGCCAUAAUAUGCGCAAUCUAAUUAACGAGAAAACCAACGUUAUUUUUUCAACAAAAAAAAAAAAAAAAACUCAAGAUUCACAAUGCAACCGCAACUGCAACAAGGAGUUAUAUAAAGGAAGAUGAUCAAUUACCUCAUGUGCAAGCAUAGUUGCUAACUCUACAUCACUUGGAUGAAGCUCAAUGAAAGCAGUGGAUGCAAUAAUCUUCCCUCCCGGACAAACUAAAGCAGGAAAAUAACGAACAGGGACACCAGUCACGAUCAAAACCUCCCAAUUCAAUCCAUCCAAAUGAGACAAAGAAGGUGGUAGCUUUCGUGUCAUACGCAACCAAACACGAUGCAAAAAGCCAUACUGUGAAAUAUCCUCAGAAAUAGACCUCAAUUUGUUGAUCUCUGAAUGCAUAGAGCCAACAAUAUUUUUGGCGAUCCUUGUAACCCUAACACUAUGAGAAUGUGUUGAAGGUAAUGUCAUCCCUUGAAACUGUUGUUUCCACUCUUCAAACUCUCUCUGACCAGAAAUCCUCUCGGUGGAAGCUUUUGUUGGGUCAAUGAAACGGGUUCGAUUAAUGUAUGGAAUAGUUCCAGGAUUUUGUAGGCGGAAUAAAAUGCGUGGAGAAAUUGCAAUUGAAGCAAAUGAAGCAGCGGCAAGAGUAAAAUAUCUGAGCAUUCCCAUUUCUGUAUGAAGAGUAACCAGGAGCCAUAUUGUUAAUGGUAAACCUCAUUUCAUAUGAUAAAGUAAGUGAGUAAUUAUUUCAUAUAUACAGUACAGAUAUACAAUUCCAAAUAAACCAGCAAACAAAUCCAAGAAUGGAUUCUGAUAUACAUACAAUUCAAGCGUACGAAACAGUAUAUUAUCAUUGUAUAGAACUCCCAACAACAAUGGCAACACACAUACACAUGUUAGCAAGCAAAUAUCUCAUACACAAUCACAAUUAUACAUGCAUAGCAGCAUUAAACAAGUUUAGUUUGUAAAAAAGUUGCUAAGAAAAAAAGUUUAGUUUGUAAAUUACAUAUGAAAAAGAUUAGUUUGUAAAUAAAUUACUUAGGAAGUUCAUACCUUUUAUGUUCAGCACAUGUCAUCACUAAACAAGUUAAUGACAAGAUUUCUAUCUAAUGUCCAUAUCCAUUAGGAUCGUAUUAUGUAUUCUGAUGAAGACUUAAGCAAAAUACAUUCAAAAGAGUUUAAUUUAUAAGACAUAGAUUCCAACUAACAGAAGCUCAUAGUUAUUAUGUAUAAAUUUGAUAUUAAGGUAACAAAAGCUUAUAAACAAAUUGAGCAAACAAACCAAAACUGUCUUCAGUCAAAGUGAAAUACAUAAAGGGAAAAACACCAUUUUGAUCCCUGAAAGUGUAGCUCCCUGUCACAUUGCUCUUUGCAUGCAUAAAAGUUGUAAACACAUCCACAAGUGUCUCUUUUAUUAGCCACUUUGGUCCUCAAAUCUAAUAUUAGUUGUCAGUUUAUUUAGUCAUUGAAUGUGUAAUUUGUUGUUCAAUUUAAUACAUAUAUUACAUUUAUGGCUCGGGAUGUAUUUGCAAUUUUGAUACAUUACAACACCUCACAUAAUCGGGAACCAAAAUGGUUGUGUACCCUAUACAUAAACAAUAACUAAUGACUCUCAUACCAUAGUUCUCUGGAAUCUGGAAAAAGGAUUAAAAAGAAAGAAAAAUAUUAUUACCUGCAAUCUGGAAUGGAAAUGAAUCUGCAAAAAAGGAAAGCAAUUUUCAUCAACGAAAAAUAGAGCAUAGAAAAACAAACAUGAACAUAGGGCAUAGGAAAGCAAAUUUUGGUGUCCAACACCGUAUACGUAUAUGGUAUAGAUACAAUUUUGUUUUUUAAUUAGUUUUUUCUUGGUCUCCAAGUCACAUCCAUCGUUAUAAAUGUAUUAUUAUAUUGUGUCAAAUUUUAGAUGUUUAGAUAACAUCACUCAUUGUGAAAAUCACUCUAAACAAAUACAGUUCAGAUCACUCUAAACAUAUGGAUUCACUAGCAGCAUAAUCACCAGCAUGAGAAGCUUGUCAUUGCAAUUAUUACUUCCAUUUCUUAAUUCAAUCACUAACAAAUUAAAAACACACGCAACAUUUUUCACUCGAAAAUCAAUCUAGUAACAAAAAGCUUUUAAAAUUAACAUGGCAAUGUUGUAACAAACAAAGGGUUGGCUUAUUUUUGAGCUUAUGAAAAAUAGCUUUUGCAAAGUAAUAAAUUUUUAUUUUAAUACAUAAAUUCUCACUAAUGAAAAUCGUAUCUUCAUAAGUUGUUUUUUUCGUAAAUUACCUUGACAAGCUUAUGAAUAAUACAUAAAAGCUUAUUUAUUUGAAUAAGAAGAAGUUGAUGUCAACAAUAAACAGCAAAAGAAGUUAAAUGCUAUAAAAUAGUUGAUCUAAAGAAGGAAAGAUCAAACCUUUAAGCUAAACUUAGUUACCCAGUUCUUGACUAAGUGAAUAAUGGAUAGUAGAAUAUAGAAACAGAGCAAACAAAAAAAAUGAAGAACACAAGAUUGAGAAGAAGUGAUGUUGUUACCUGCAACUUGGUGAAAAGCCCUAACUUUGAGUAGAAAGAAGGGUACUGAAGAGUAGGAAUGGAACAGUGACAGUUGGAUGCAUAAAAGGACAAAAAAACUAGCUAGCUAACGUUGUUUGAAUCAAAAAAGAAAACAUUCCAACAAUUUGGAAUAUGAGACAGGUGGCAUCAAAGGAUGUUACUUUCUGUCUCCUCUCUUCCCACACAACAUAAAUACUACUCCCUCCGUCCCUGAAUAAGUGAUCUAUUUGUAAAAAAUAUUUGUCCCACAAUACUUGAACUUCUCAGAUUUCUAAGCAAAAUUUGACAGAUUUACCUCUUAUAAAUACUUUUUGUGGUCCCCAUAUUAAAGUUUGCAGUGGAACAAAGAAAGUAAUCAUUACUUAAAAUGAAAAAGUUUCAAAAUAAUGACAAGGGCAACUCAGUAAAAGUAUCACUUUCUUUCUUUCAUUUUUACAUUUUUCUUAAUUUGUGUGAAAUGAUGAAAUAGAUUACUUAUUCAGGGACGGAGGGAGUACUAUAUUCUUUCUUAAACUUGCUUGUUUUUUAUUCUUUUGUUUACAUUUAUAUUUUUUUCCCCCUUUCUCACUCAUCUUCAUUAAUAAGAUUAAUUUGAAUUUAUCAACAUGUUAAUGUCUGGUUUAGAAAUUGAAGUUGAUUUUGACGUGUGUGUUAGAAUGAUCAUUUAUCCUUUGUUUAAAUAUUCAGAAGUCCUAGCUCAACUGGCAAAAUGCCGAAAUUGUUAGGCCGGAUGUCAUGACCGGGGUUCGAACCCCGCUACCUCCACUUGUGUGUGUGAGUUUAUAAUGGCUUUGCCAUUCCGUCUAUCUACAAAAAAAAAAAAUAUAUAUUUUAAUGUAUUUGAGAGAGUUGACCCAACAGUGGAUCCUCCUAUUUUAAUUGUAAAUGAUUGAUUCAUCUGAACUGCAUAGCUUACAUGAUCACCACAAAAUCAUAUAAGGAAAUGAUUAAAUGGAGGUAUUCAUGAACAUAUUACAUGUAUGUAUCGACAAUUAUAAAUCAUGUAUGUACCCUUACAUUGCAAUUGAAAUUAUAAGAAUAUGAAGGAUGGAUGUUGUUUUCAUCUUUCAUGUCUUACAAAUUUAACGUUUGGAAAUAAUUAAUUCAGGAUCAUUAGGAUACAAGAAACUGCUGGGACUUGGGAAAGAGUCCCACAUCCAGAAACCUAGAAAACAACUGAGUAGAUAUUAGUAUAAAAGAAGUAGAGAGUGAUGAGUAGUAUUAUCAAUUGAUAGAACUAUGAAUAGUAUUAUUUGUUUAUCUAUCUUCAAUUACAUUUGAUUAAUUAGAGAGAUUAGUGAUGAGUUCCAUUAAAGUACUAUUGCUGCAAUUUAUCAAUUCAUGAUAGAUGUUACUCAAAAAAAGCAUUGAAAAUAUGUAACAAUGUUCCUGGUCAACAAAUUAAGUACUAUUGCUGGAUUAUAUGUUAGGAAACUAUUCUGAAUUUUAUAACAUCUUUAAAAGUUCUGUUGAAACGAUUGUUCUGUGAGCAAGUGUAUCAUACGAAAUUGAAGUGUGUAACAAAGAGAGAUUGUUCAAUUGCAAUGCCACAGUUUUAACAUGUCAAGUAUGGUACAAUCGGAAUUUGAAGUUCUGAAAUGUGCAGAAUAAUAAUUAGAGCUGAGUCAUCUAUUGGAUAUAUAAAAAGAUAAAUUUCUCCAAUUAUGUUACAUGUUUUUAAUCAUUUUGGCAAUUGUUUCUAUCUCAAGUACCAAUGCUAGCUUACAGGAUCACAAACAAAAUCAUACAAGGAAAUUGAGAAUGACUCUCAAGAGAUCAGUGAAAGGAAAUAGGGGAAUACAUAAUAUCAUGUGUCCUUGUAAUUUAAAAAGCAUAGAUGAUCUUUCUUGAUGGCAAACUUAGCAUGGUGUGUGACAAUUAUAAAUGAGGAUUAGCUUGACUAAAGUACCCCUUACAAGUUACAAUUCAAAUUAUAAAGAUUUGAAGUAUUUUGUUUUCAUCUUUCAUUUCUUAUAAAUUUCACUUUUGGAAAUAAUUCAACAAGUAUUCAUGAAGCAUAUAUAUAUGCUUGGGUAAAUUAAUAAAAAUGAUAAGGAUACAUUAAGAUUGACCAAGUGAGUGCCAAGCUGCUGGCCAUGAGUCCCACAACGAGGAACCUAGAAAGCAACUUGGGUAAUAUUUGAUAUAAAACAAGCUGCGAGUUAAGUGUAUCAUCAUAUCAUUUCAUAAAGUCUCAUAAGUUUUCAGGGUUACACAUUUCGGAAGUGAAGAAAAGCCGAGGAAUAUUUAACCAUUGCUUGAAUAUUCCUUUACUUUUCUUUCACUUUUGAAAUUUGUUGUUUGGAAAUAGUAUUGGAAUUGUUACCACCAACAUUGGUAUGGUACUACACCCCAUUAUUAAUUCUAAAGUUUUUUUUUUCAUGCCAUGCAUUUGGCUUAACCGUGAGUCACCCUAUCAAAAUGUAAUAUGUUAGUUUAAUUAUUAAAGAGAGUAAUUCAAAAAUCUAAUACUUCAAUUUAAGAUGCAUUGAAUGCAUAAAUUUUGGUAAAAACUUAAUAUCUAAUGUUCUUAGAGUGUCUUUAAGGCAAGGUGUCUCAUGCGCCCCAAGAAAACAACCAAAUACGUUUACCUGAUUGUCAUACCUCAAUUUUGCCUUAGUCAAAACUUUCAUUCUUUCUUCUUGUUUUCUAAUUUUUUACAAAAAAAAAAUUAACAUUUGACCAAAGUCAACAGUUGACCAAAAAUCAACUUUUCUAAACAAAAGUCAAUCAAUCUAUUUUUUUUGCAUCAAAUGCAUUAGUUGUGAGUUAGAGUAGAUAUUAUAUAUGUUGAAUUCAUAAUUAGACAAUAGUCAUGUCUAUAGAGAUGUAAAACUUAGUUAGUUUAGUUAUGAGUUAGUUGGUCUAAGUAGCUACAUAAGUAUUAAUGUAUUACUUGAUGUAACAAUUCUCUCAAAAUCUAAGGUGUAUUUUCAUUUCACUUUUCUAUAUUUUUCUCUUAUUUAUAAGUACUAUGAAGAAUUGUAAUAAUGCCCGUUAGUUUUAAAUUCAAUAGCUUAUACAGAUCUCUCUCGCAUACCAGCUUCUGAAUCUCUGGACGUUAUUAAUGAGAAAGUAAGAUUAACUUAAUAACUAAUACAUGUUUCAAUGUGGACUGUGACCAAAAACACAUUAGUACGUAGGAAAAGUGUGAAAAAACUUCACUAAGUUCAUGAUAACAAAUUUAUUGAAAAUUCAAUACCAUAAAAGUUCAUGUCUUACAAAUUUCAGGUUUGGAAAUAAUUCUAGAAAUAUUGAUGAGGCAUGUCAUAUGUUGCAUAAAUUAACUUAAAAUAACCAUACACACUUAUCUUAGUCACUACCAUUAAGAAGCUUAAGUCAAAAAAGACGUGUAGAAGAGUAAAUUAAAAGGAUAUGAAUACAUUAAGAUUAUUAAGAGUCUGUAUUAUAAUUAGUUGUUUUUUGGAUAGGUAAGAAAAAUGUUUUGUCUUAUGGGUUAAAUGUUUUUUCUUGUGGAUCCAUCAACAAUUAUUAUGGAUAGAUUCCUUGUUGUAGUAAAUUUUGGCUUCGAGGGUUAGAUUUUAAAAUAAAUUUUAUACAUUAAAACAACACCAAAUGUGAACAUCUCCCGGAACUCGUCCUAUUUAUGGACUAUUUUUUGUGUAUAAAUGAUUAAAGACAAGGAUAAUGUUUCAUGUACACAUUUUUUUUCAUACACACAUUGUACUACUUCAUAUGAGAGUGUUCGAGAGACAAUACAUGUGAGUUUUUUUGUGUGUGGGGGGACCACAAGGACACUUGCCAAAAUUGUGUGUGGAUGUACAAGUGGUACAUGCCACUUAAGGUGGUCUAUGUAUCACUAAAUGGAGUAAUAUGCAUCAUAAAAUGUAUAGAAACCAAGAGAGUACUAUAAGACAUAAGAAUUUCCGUCAUUGAAGUUAGGCAAAUUCUAUGGUACAUCCACUAUAUUUGAGUGUACCGGUACACUCACUCUUUAAAUUCAUAGUUAAAUGAGUUGUUUUUUUGAAGAAUUUUUUUUUUUUUUUUAUCAUUUAUAAUUAUAAUAACUAAAUCUUAUUCAUCAAACGUGUCAACGAAAUAAUUUUUUAUUUUCUUAAAUUUUUAUCAUCAUAAUUGAGAACAUUCAUUAUUUUUUACGAUAAUAUGUAAAAAAAAGUUACUAUGAUUCUUAUAAACAAUUAAAUGAUGUUUUUUUCUUAUGAAAUGUUGUUCUAUGAAAUAUAAAUAUUGAUAAAUAGCUAUUUACUACAUAAAAAAUUAUCGUUCAUUUAUAAAAUUAAGAAGGAAGAGUAUCGGUACACCUUAUUUUGUGAGUGUACCAAGUUCCCUUGAAGUUAAGUUGGAAACUCUACACAUAUUGCCAGAAAUCAACUAACAUACCUAAACCAUGCCUCUAAAAGUAACUCCCACACUAGACAAAUGCCCCCUCCAAAAAUUGUUACCAUAUCUAUACACUCAAGUGAUGAUGUUGAACAAACAUUUUAGGAGUACAUACAACGUCCCAAUAAAUAAGGCUUAGAAGCAUUAUCUUGAUCUCCCCAUAUAAACUUUAUGCAAAUCCGACCAAUAUCUUCACACACAGAUUGAGGUAAAACACAGUUUGCAUAACGAUCCUGUGAGCUCUACGGUCUUGCGAUUGUCCGACUUCGAUCAGCAGCUUCCUUGUCUUAUGAGCGAGGUAGUGUGAAUUCAAACAUUCCGACGAUCAAGUAAGAACGCCAAAUAUGUAGAAAAGGGUGUAACUCGAAGUAGGCAACGAGUUGGCCUUUAUAGUUGUGAACUAUGGUUAUUGGUCCCUCCAAGCUCCAACCAUACUCCAUAUAGCUGUCUAAAGGGGACACUUGUGGACACAUUGGAGGAAACGAGCCUCGGAUCCGGAAUGAGCUGUCGAAAUUGGCCUAUGUGGCCAUGAUUUGAUGGAUUUAGAGGAAGCCCAUAGUGUGGUCUGUGUGUGCAUUAGUGGCUUGAGGUGAUUCGAUCGGUUAAGGAAAUAGGCCUUGAACAUAAUUGAAGAAUAACAAGUCCAAUCAACCCCAAAUAUCAUGCGACAAAUAUUUCUGAAUCGGAAAUGCUUAAAUGCACGACAGGCUUUGUCGUGUGACUUGCAUGACUUUGUAUUCCACUUAUUGCUUUUUCAUAUAUUUUUAUUUAUUUUAAUUAAAACAAUUAUAAAAAAGGGAGUGAAGCCACGUAUUGGUCGUGUGGUUUCGUGGGCAGGAAAUUGUCGUGCCCUUUAGCACCGCUCUUUCUGAAUUUCUGCUUAGAAACAUUUGAUAUUGUUCUUGCGUAGCUUCAGCAUAUUCAUAAUCAUAACCAUAAAUAGGCUGAGGCUCCACUUUUAUGGUAUUGAAUAUUCAUUAAAUCUGUUACCAUGAACUCUGUAAAGCUUUUUGAAACAUUUAUAUAUUAAUUAUUAAGUUAACCUAUAUAAUAACCAACAUGAUUGUAAAAAUAUAGUAACCAACAUUCUAUAUAUAAUAAUAACCAAAAUGAUUGCAAAAAUUGUCACAAAAUGAUUGUAAAAAUAUCAUUUCUUUAAUAUAAUAACCAACAUUCUAUUUUAAUCUUAAUUUCAGAUCUUUAUGCUUCCAAUUUUUCUGAUAAAUGGAAUAUAGAGUUAAGAACUUAUCCUAUAGCCUGUAUGAUUUCCUCUUAAAUUGGAUCUGUCACUCGUAUACAAAAGAAAGUGAUGACAUUUUCUCAAGAUCUGUUGGGAGAUACCAUCGAUCCCCAGAUUUCUCUCAAUGGAAUCAAUCCAAAAAUGCCUUCCUAAUUAGUGGCAGACUUAGCCUAUAAAUGAGGAUUAGUGAUGACAUUGUCGAUAUUAUUAAGAGCUUAUGUCAAAGAAUAUGUGUAGACGGGUAAAUUAAAAGGAUAAAGAUACAUUAAAAUUAUUCUUUCAUUUUUUUUUUCAAUUAUAAAAACUCGAUUUUCGGCCUAGAAUCGAUUAAUUUGAAGGAUCUGUCCCACUGUCUACCAGCGGGAGGCGCAAUUGAAGCUAGAAACUUUUUUUGUAUGGACUAACCCAACAUAAUAAUUGUUGGCACCAUGAAUUCGAAUAUGUGAGUUAAAGAGGGGUACACUCUUAAGUCUCAAGUGUUCCCCACCAUACAAAUCCCUCUUGAUUAGUAGAUAUACAAGUAAUGUUAUAAAAUGGAGUUUUUAUGUGCUUAUGUUAUCCCUUGAAGUCCCACAUCGGCUGAUGCAACAUGUAAGCAAGCUAGUAAGGUUAUAAAAAGAAAGAAAGGACUUCUUGAAUCUCCACUCAUCGAUGCAUAUCUUCAAUCACUUGUAGUUGCAUAUUGCAGCUUAUAUUAGACUUUCAAAUUUGAAAAAUUUGCAUUUUUCACUAUAUUUGAAUAUCUUUUUGUUGGCUUCUUUAUGCAACUGCUUAGUUAGUUUAUUGUUUUUAAUGUUCAUUUGUUAUAUUUUUCUGUUUGUAUGUUUUUUUUAUUGAAUUUUAUUAUUAAAUAUAUUUAUAUUUUUUCAAUGGAAUCAAAUCAAUAAAAUUUACGUAAAAGAUAAAUUUUAGUUUCGUACUGCGAUUGUUAUGACAUUAUACAAUAGAAGAACAUCGUUAAAAUUGGUCACUGAAAAGAUUUUUUUCUUUCUUUUUAUGAUUAAACACCAAAAGGAAAAUCUAGCACUAAACAUAUGAGAUAGAAUAAUUUUUUGAUUACAUGAGAAAUAUAUAUAUUAAAUAAAUUGUCAAAAAACACUAGACAAUACAAGUAACUUAAGAUUGCAAUUGGUUUUAGAGCUUUGUUUUAGAAAAUGUGUUUUAAAAAUGGUUUGGGGUUGAAAGGAAACAAGACCUACAUUGAUGCACAACUUAUUACGGGAACAUUGAUUUUACAUAAGUCCUACACUAAAAAAGUUAGAUCAGAAGACAUUAUGUUAAACCAUUUUAACCAAAAAUGCUCUAACAAAUCUACCUGGUACUUUGGUAGUGCGGAUAGAAGAAGUUUUUCAAAUUGAAAUUGAGUAACUUUGUUGAGAAAAAGUUACCAAGACUUUCCCUUUAUCGCUAGAGUGACUUGAGAGAUCUCUCCAAAUGCUUUAAUGCUCUCCAAAAAUGAUUUGGAAAAGGGUUUGAUGAAGUUACUCAAAAAAGCAUUGAAAAUAUAUAACAAAGUACUAUUGGUGGAAUUGAAGCACAAAUGGGAGUUAUGUAUUAUAUGUUAGAAAACUAGCUUACAGGAUCAACAUUAAAUCAUAUAAGGAAAUUGAGAAUGACUCUAUCACAAGAGAUAGAUGAGGGUAGUUAAAACUUGUACAAAUCAUUAGCACACUACAUUUAUUGAAUUUUCAAAUGAAACCCAAUGUGAAGUUAAAAAUGACUAACCAAGUAAUGCUUUGAACUUUGAUCUAGGAGUGUUUCAUCAUAAAUUGAAGAAGUCUGUAACAAAGAGAGAUUGUUUUAACAUGUCAAACAUAUUACAAUCCGAAUUUGAAGUUAUUUAUUGGGUAAAAUAAUUAUAGCAGAGUCAUCAAAUUACAGUAACAUAUUUAAUGAAAAUUCAAUACCAUAAAAGUUGAUGGCUUACAAAUUUCAGGUUUUGAAAUAAUUCCAAAAACAUUCAUGAAGCAUGUCAUAUGGUUGGAUAAAAUAACUUAAAAUCACCAUACAUAAUUAUCUUAGUCACAGCCAUUAAGUAAAAAAAAUGUGUAGAAGGGUAAAUUAAAAGGAUAAGGAUACAUUAAGAUUAUUAGAUAUAUGUAUGUAGGAAAAGAGAGAUCAAAUACUCUACCAAGGGAGUCCCACAUCGGGGAACCAUUGAAAUCGACUGAGUAUAUAGUUGAUAUAAAAAAAGCAGCGAGUAGCCAAUUUAAAGCUACACCAAACUAACUCCCAAACCAAACUGGAUUUUAGCUAAUAAGCUAUGGGUUAAAAUUGGUGUGGAUUAGACUCGGCGUUAAUUUUAAUUAAAUUUAAUUGGUGCCGAAUCAAAUCAACAUCUAUUUUAACCCAUUGAUUAAAAUUAAGUUUGGGAGUUAUUACUGGAGGGUAGAUGCAAAAUAUUUUUGUCAUGGUUAAUUGCCAUUAUUUAAUAUUUAAUAGAUGUUUUGCUCCUUUAAUUUAUUUUUGAAUUUUAUUUUAGUCUCUUAACUUUAAAUCGUCUCAAUUUGGUCCUAUAAUUUUAACUUUAAAUCGUCUCAAUUUGGUCCUAUAAUUUUACCUCUGGUUAUCUAAGUGGUCUCUUCUAUUAGGUGAAGAUCCUCUCCAUUUGGCAAAAUAAAUGGAGUUUUGUAAGUUGGAGAGAGACAGACAAAAAAUAGAUGGUGGGUCCUACCACUAAGUGGGUCCCACCAUCAUUAAUUAUAUUUUACUUUUUUCAAGAUUUUAUGUGUCUUUAUCUUUCCAAAUUGAAGAAAUGGAGAAACACAUAAAUGGAGAGGAUCUUAACCCCUUCUAUUAAGACAAUUUAAAGUUAAGGGAUCAAAAUAAAAUUUAAAAAUAAGUUGAGGGACCAAAAUAUGUAUUAAGCCUAUUUUGUAUUAAUUCUCGGAGAUUUGUAUUCCAGAUGUGCCACUUUUCAAGUUCUAAAGAUUUGUUAAAAAGCAGAGGCCUAUAUAAAAGGUUAAUGAUGUGUCAAUUAUUUGUGGGACACAUAACCCAGAUUAUUUUGUUUUACUCUUUCCAUUCUUUUUUAAAUGUCACUUUUGGAGAAAUUUUUGUUCCAAUUUAACUGAAAGUUCAAUUCAAUUUUAAAUGUUGUUUUAUCAAUAUUACCCUUAGUUAUUUAUUGCGGAGAGAGAAAUAUAUGAAAUGAAAUAUUAAAUGAAUGAGACAAUUAUAGUAAAAAUAUCAAUUAUUGUAUCAAAAAUAGUAACAUUUAUUGAUUGUCUUAGUUUAUAUAAAAUAUCAUAAAGUGACAAUUAAAAAGGAACGAAUGUAGUAUAUGUUUGCUUACAUGAACAACAUUAAAUCACAAGAUCCCUCAAAAGGAACUCAUGAAAUGUAGAAAUUAAGCAUAGAUGAUUUUCCUUGAUGGCAGACUUAGCAUGGUGUGACAAUUACAAACGAGGAUUAGCUUAACUUUAUUUUUUUGACGGAAGGAUUAGCUUAAUUAGGUACCCUUACAAUUGUAAUUAUAAAUAUUUGAAGUAUGUUGUAAAACAACUGAGUAUAUAUAUAUAUAUUAGUUUGUAAUUUAUCCUUAUAAAUAAAGGAUAUUUUUCUUAUAAAUUGCUUUAUAAUAUCAAUAAAACACGAUAUUUUUCCCUUAUACCUUCAUUAUUUAUUACUCUUAUUCAGUUCUUUAAUUUUAUCUUUCACUCUUUAAUAAUUUUGGCACAAGAAAGGCAGAAUACUCUACCAAAUAACUCCCAAGCUUAUUAUAAACCCCAUAUAAGCUCUUCAGGAUUACUUAUGAUAAGAACUUUUACUAUAAACACUUAGUUAAGCUAUUUAUAGUAACAGUGGUCAAAUGUAUGGUGUAUUCUGAUUCUUUUCUUCAGUGUUUGGUUCUUGUUUUCCAAUUUAGAAGAACUUCAAAGUGAAAACUGUCCCUUGAUUUUGUUAAUGAGAGUUGAAACCUUAAACAAGCAUUGAAUGUAGAGUGAAUUUCGAUUCUUUUUUCAAGCGUUUAGUUCUUGUUUACCUAUUAAGAGCAUGUUUGGAUUGGUUUAUUUUAGUUUAUCAAUCUCACAUAAACCACUGCGAGUCUGUUGGAGAGAUCUUAUAGAAAUAGCUUAUGAUCAUGUUCAUAAGUUUAUUGUGGCUUAUUUGAAGAUGGUCAAGAUCAUGCACAAGCUAAGUUUGCAUGGUGCGUGAAAUUACAUGACACUUAUACAAUGAUGGGAAAUAUCGAGAAUUGUCAAAAGGACUUGAAAUUCCAGGUCAGGACUUGGGGGAAACUGAUCCUAGAUUCGGUGAGACAUGUAUGCACGUAGCUGAGGCACAUGUUCAAGCAGUGCAGAUGUCAAAAGGCCCUUUUCCUAUACUACGCCUAAGACCUGUAAAAUGCUAGGAACGGCCCUGGCAGUUGAAGAGAGUCUAAGAAGCUAUGUCAAAAGGCUCUAGAUAUUCAAAAGACUAAGGCCGAUCGGGGAUCGGAAGGUGAUUAUGGAAGUGUUUUAGAAAAUUAUACGUUGGCAUGUAUGGUUAUAGCAGAUAGAGCGCUUCAGUUUAAGGAAACACACAUCGGAUAUUCGGAAAGUUGAAAAGAAAAAACCCUAUAGUUUCAGUACACGUGUAUUCUGGAUAUGCCAUUUAUACAAGUUAGUUUUGUGAACGAUGCAUUUCACUUUCAUAAUAUCAAAGCUUGGUUAACCACACCUCCGUAUAAAGAAGGUAAAAUUUGUAUUAAUGAAUGGUAUGAGUACAUAAAUAUUCCUUAGUAAAAUGGAUCUAAAAUUUUUGUAGAGGGGUUUUGCAACCAAUAUGUUGUUUUUCAUCAAAUAGUAACAAUCCACCACAAUCCAUGACCCCAGCUGCUAAAGCAAUAUCAGAUUUUUCAAAACAAAAUACAUCAAUAAUUAGGACCAUUUUUUUUUGAGAGAUCAAUAAUUAGGACCAUAUAACUUACUUUAAUAUAAAAAGGUAAAUUUCUCGCAAAUGGAAUUUAUCAUGUGAUCAACUAAUAGGGGAAUACAAGACCACCGCAAAAAGUAUAGAUGAUCUUUCUUAAUGGCAGACUUAGCAUGUGGAUGAGCUUGACUCAAGAAUGUACCCCUUACAAUUCAAAUUAUAAAGAUUUCAAGUAUGUUUUCUUCAUCUUUCAUUUCUUACAAAUUUCAGUUUUGAAAUAUUUCAAGAAACAUUAAUAAAGUAUAUCAUAUGUUUGGAUAAAAUAACUUAGAAUCACCACCAUACUCUCUCUGGUCUCAAAUGUAGGAAAAAAAAAAACACGCCAAUUAAGAAAAUGAAUUGAUUACAUUGAAGUCAUGUUAAAAAAUGUACAACUUUCCAAUUUUGCCCUUGUCAUGUUUUAGUAAUAAUUAAUGAAAGUGACUUUUGAACUCAUGGAGAUAGGGUAACGUGAAACAGUAUGGGAGCAUGCAGCUUUGAAUUAUGAGAAUAUGAUUUUUAACAAGGGUAAAAUUGGAAUAGUAGCAUUUAUUAGGUUGCUUUUACUAUACUUUUUCUUACAUUUGAGACCACAAUUUUUUUUAUGUUUUUUCCCUACAUUUGAGACCGAAAGGAGUACAUAAUUAUCUUAGUCAAUUCUAUUAAGAAAGCUCUAGUAAAAAAAAAGAAUGUGUGGAUGGGUAAAUUAAAAGGAUAAGGAUACAAAGGAAAAUUUGAAACUCCCUCUAUUCCUUUUUAAGUGUCAUUUUUGGAAAAAAAAUUGUUCCUAUUUAAUUGUCUUUUUCAAAGUUCAAUGCAACAUUAAAUAUUGUUUUACCAAUAUUAUCCUUAGUUGUUUUAUUACGGAGAGAGAAAUAUAUGAAAUAAGAUAUUAAAUGAAUAAGGUCAUUAUAGUAAAAAUAUAGUUUAUUACAUCAAAAGUAGUAUCAAUUGUUGAUUGUCUUAGUUUAUAUAAAAUGUCAAAAUGUGAUAAUUAAAAAUGAACGGAGAUAGUAUAAAACAAGCUGCGAGUUAAGUGUAUCAUUAUAUAAUUUCUUGAAGUCUAUGAAGUUUUCGAGGUUACACAUUUUGGAAAGCGAAGAAAAGCUGAGAAAUAUUUAACCAUUUCUUAAACAUUCCUUUACUUUUCUUUGACUUCUGAAAUUUGUUGUUUGAAAAACCGUAUUGGAAUUAUUACCACCAAUGUGUUACACUAUAACAUUGGUAUGAUACACCUCUAUUAGUUCUAAGGUUUUUUUUUCUUCUUCAUGCCAUGCAUUUGGCUUAAUCUUGUGUCACCCUAUCAAAAUGUAAAACUUGAGUUUAAUUAUUAAAAAGGGUAAUGCAAAAGUCUAAUACUUCAAUUUAUGAUGCAUUGAAUGCAUUAAUUUUGAUAAAAACUUAAUAUCUAUUGUUCUUAAAUAGUAUCUUUAGGGCAAGGUGCAUGGCAAGGCGUCUGUUAGUAUUUCCUAAAAAAUAUUAUUAAAAUAAAAACCGUAUAAAAAUUCGGUGAAUUAAAGGGGGUUCAAGCCCCAACAAAACAACCAAAAACCUUUAUUUGGUUAGCCUCUUUUGAGACCAAUUAACCUAUCUUUAUCACGCGUUGGAGAAAAUAUGGAUUUUUCGAACCAUUGCACGACUACAAUUACUGUUGUUUUUAUUCAUUUGAAACGGCUGAAGCUGGUUUCGGCUAGACACAAUGUUAUGAACCAUAGGCCAUAGCCAUUACCUGGUGGAAAAUUCCAAGGCAACUCACACCAAAAUAAGAGGGCAAUGGACUUCAUUAACAUAACCAAAAUUUUUGAUAUUCAACAUAAGCCAUUCCUUCCACUCCACAUCAUCAAAAAACUUCACAUCAUAAAAUUGUUGAAACCUGAGCCAAAAAAUCCUAGCUUUCACACAGACCUAGAACAUAGUUAAGGAACUAGGCCUAGAACAUAAUUGAAGAAAUUUAUCUUUUAUCCAAUAUAUGACUCAGCUUUAAUUAUCAAUCUGCACAUUUCAGAACUUCAUAUCCUGAUUUGUAUUAUGCUUGAAAUGUUAAAACUGUGGCAUUAGAAUUGAACAAUCUUUUUGUUACAAACUUCAAUUUCUGAUAAAACACUUUCUCACAUAUCAAAGCACUACUCAGAAACAUUUGAUAUUGCUGCUUUUGUGUGUAGUAUACUUGUUCUUGCGUAGCUUCAGCAUAUUCAGUAAAUCUGUAACACCCCGUUUUUCCAUUAUAAAAAUUUCAUAAAUUAAUUAGAGUAAAACACCUUAAACGGAAUGUUACACUUCUUUUUCUUAAAAAUCAUAAAUGGAAUAAUUAAAUAAUUAUCCUUCAAAUUUCAACAACGUAAUAAUUAAAACUUUGCAGCGGAAUUAAUUCAACGACAAUAGAAGCUCCAACAACAUGUUCCAAAAUUGAUACAUAAAGGAAUGAUAAACAUCGUAACAAUUUCUCAUCCCGUUACGUAUCAGAGCCCUAAGACACUUGAGCCACCUCUCCUACUAAGCUUCAUUACCUGCAAGUUACCCAUACGAAGGGCAACAUUUUCAAGUAGAAGGGAUGAGAUCUCUUAAACAAUAAUAAUAAGCAUAUAAUUCAUCAAUUACAGUUAACAACAUAGACAUCAUCAAAUCCACCCAAUAAUAAUUCUUCUUAACAUCCCCUUAGUACUCAUGAAUAGAAGACAACUUAGCCACUAUAUAUGCAUCAACGUUAUCAAUUCAUAACAAUAAUUAUUCAUCAACCAUCUCAUUAACAAUACAUGAAUAAGGAACAACUUAUCAACUUAACAUAACCAUCAUCAAGUACAUUUAACAACUCAUAGUACUUCUAGUUUUGAGCUUUGGAAUUAUUCCAUAAGUUUUGGAUUAACUUAGAAACGGUUAUACUGAAUUUUCAUAAGAUUUCACUAAGACCUCCUUAGAGUAUUUUCAUCAUAUCUCAAAAACCAAAAAUCAUUUUCAAGUGAAACCAAAGCCAUUGGAAAGCUAACAAAAUUAUCUACAACUUUCAUGUUUACACCAAAGGUCAACUCAAAACAGAAAUGUGUGAAAAAGACGCAAGAUUAUGAAACAGGGUAAGCAUCAGACAUACUGAAAUUUACAGAUUUUCUGUCAAAAUCGCCUCACGAUCACUGGGAUCGCCUCACGAUUUCGACAGCAUCAUACAUGCUGAUAUUACAGAUUUUUCUGCGAUUUUCUACCAUGGGAGCAUCCUUGGCUCCGUUUUUUGACCCUAAACUCUCCAAAAUCAUCCAUAAUCAUCACCAUAUGAUUACCCUAUCAUUGAAACAUUAAUCCAUCACUAACCUACCCGAUUAACCACUCUUUUCACCGUUCAAUUCUAUGGUUUCUACACUUUUUCAUUCAAAAGUCAAUAAUCAAAACCUAAUCCCAAUUCUCAAAUUUAACCACAACCCCUUGCUAAAUCAAAAUCAGAAUUAUACAAACUAUAAUCAUUGAGAGUUAGCCUCACCCUUACCUUAGAUUGAUGAACAAAGCUCUACACGAUCUUCUCUCGGAUACUCUUGGCUCCCUCUUGGUUUUUCUCCCAAAAAGCUGCUUCCACGUGAAAAUGUUUUAUGACUUCUCUCUUUUCUUUUCUAAACCUAGUUCAACUUCUUCUAUUUCCGCUUAAUCCCACACAACUCUCCUUAUUUCUAAAUCAGCCCCUUGAACUCCAAAUAUUCUAAAUUCCCACUUAUUCUAUUAAAUAGUAACAUAACUCAUUUAAUAAAAUAUAACACACCACAUAAUCAACAAUAUUUAUUUAAAAUCAUAUAUAAAAAGACUUUAAAUCAACCAAUAAUAAUUAAAUAAAAUUGGAGCGUUACAAAAUCUGUUACCAUGAACUCUGAAUCUUUUUGACACUUUUCCUAUGUACUAAUGUUUAUUUUGCAUCAGUCCACAUUGAAAUAUUUAUAUAUUAAUCAUUAAGUUAACCUAUAUGAUUUAUUGGACAAAAACCAUAUGAAGAUUUGUUCCAAAAAUUGUCACAAACUGUAAAGCACAAACACCUUUAGGACUAGUUGUGCCACGGUGUCCAACACUCAUGUGACACUCGUAUGACACGUGUCAGACAACUAAAAUCGGCGUCUUAAAUAAAGUUAUUUUUUCUUUAAUUCGACACUCCUAGAACUAGUAUCUGACACCUAUAUAACACGCAUACGAGCUGUGUAGGGGCAACUCAGACAAAUAUCAAAACAUUAUUUUUCUCUCUUGCUUCCACAAAUAAUAGAUACAAGAGCUACAUAGGUUUUGAGGAAUGUUGAUCAAUUAGGGGGUUAUAGACAUUACAGUUGAUUAUAACAUUUUUAGCUUUUUUGAUAGCAGAUACAUAAAUAAAUGUCAAAUACUACGAUAUCUUGUUUUAGAACUUUUUCUAAUAAAAUAACUUGCUCAAGUUAAAUGCUUAUAUAUGUAUUUUGAUUUUCAUUUUAGACCGUCUACAAAUAAAUUAACAUAUAUGUAGUAGCGGUGUCGGUGUCCCAUAUUUUUUACACUAACAGUGUCGAAGUAUCUGUGUCAGUAUCGUAUCAGGUGUCUGUGUUAAAGUCCAUACUUUAUCACAAAUAAUUGUACAAAUAUCAUUUCUCUAAUAUAAUAACCAAGAGUGCAAUUGCUUUUCGAUUUUAAUCUUAGUUUCAGAUUUUUAUGGUUCCAAUUUUUCUCAUGAAUGGAAUAUAUAGUUAAAAUCUUAUGUUAGCCUAUAAAAUUUCCUCUUAAAUUGGAUCUGGUGGCAGAUAGAUACCAUCUAGACUUUUUUUUUUUUUUGGAUUCUCCCUAGACUUCACAAUGGAUUCAAUUCAAAGAUGUCUUCCUUAAUGGCAGACUUAGCAUGCUCCUAACCUCAGCCCUAGUAUCAGCAUAUAAAAUGUCCAAUAAUCUGGUCAUUAAAUUAAUCGCACAGUUCCAAUCCAUUGCCUCGUCGUGGUCCAGCAUGCGGUCGUGAAAAGGAAUGUAUAGGAGAUUAUGCACAUCGUCCAAAGUGAUCGUCAUCUUCCCCACAGGUAGAUGAAAACUACUGGUCUCCGUGUGCCACCUCUCGCACAUAGCACAUAUAAUGGCAUGGGUCACAGUAGAAUACCCCGUGUAUAUCAAAUCAUGUAGGCCAGACCCCUCCACAGGCACCUCAAAACCUCCUUCGACUUACCAAACUCUUUCAUCUUUUCCCUGCAUUUAUACACUUGUAAUCUGCUUCAUCAUACCACAUAUGAAAUUCAAAUUAAUUAAGACAUUGUCACUAUUUUAUAUAAUUAAAACACUUACGCUACAUAAUAUUAAAUAAUUAAAACACUUACGCUACAUUAUUUUAAGGCUUAAAUAUGUAAAUCGUCCUUGUAAUUUGGCGUGUUUUUGGUUUUCGUCCCUGUAUCUUUUUUUAUUCUAAAACAACCCCUAUAAGUUAAUAACUUUUUACUUUUCGUCCCUCCCGUCAAACUCUGUUACAAAAAUGCCUUGCUGACUAACGGUGAGUGACGUGGCAGGUGCUGACUUGGCCAAACACGCUUAUGUGGACUGACAGAUGAUCCCUGACUAUAUUACAGGGACCAAAACCAAAAACGAAAAGGUACAGAGGGACAAAAUUAAAAACACCUAAAUAACAAAAUAUGAAAUUUAGGUGGCCUUCCAGAAGAUUCCUGACUAUAUUACAGGGACCAAAACAAAAAACGAAAAGUUACAGAAGGACGAAAUUAAAAAUCACGAAGUUAAAAAUUUAAAAUUAAAAACCCUUGUUGUUUCCAUCUUCUUCCUCUCUCUUUGACAUAUUCUUCUUCUUCUUCUUUUGUGCUUCUGAAAUCAAAUGUCUGGCAACAAUGUCUUCAUCAUCCAUUACGUUGUUUUCUUCAAUUGAAUCAUCGUAUGGAAUGAAAUUAAAAAUCACGAAGUUAAAAAUAUCUGCCAUCUUAUUCAUCUUCUCUCUGUUGUAUGGAUUCCAUUCCAACUUGGAUUGAUUUUGUUACGAUAAUAUGGAAAAAAGAUGGAUGUACCAAUUCAUAUACCCGAUUCCUUUCUUGGUCACCCCACAAGAAAUUUAAUAAUAAUAAUAAUAACAAUAAUAAUAGUAAUAAUAAUAAUGUAAAGCACAAGAAUGAUGUUUCCAUUGUUCUUCUUAUCCUUACAAUUGUAAUCUCACCCUUCUCAUUUGUCAUGUGCUUCAAACUUUGUCAUAAUUCCACUAACAAGAAAGCAAACACGACGACAACAAAGAAUGAGAAUUUGUUUGACAUAUGGAAUUAUGAUGGAAAAAUAACAUAUGAUGACAUUAUUAAAGCAACACUUUGACAUUAGAUAUUGCAUCGUGACAUAAGCAUAUGAAAGUGUAUACAAGACUCAAUUAUCAUGUGGCCAAUUUGCCACCUUAAAGAAACUUCACAAAUAUGAAGCAGAUGUGUCAUUUUUUGAUGCGAGUUUCAGAAUUGAAGUGAGAAUAUUAUCAAAAAUAAAGCAGAUAAAUAUUGUUAAACUUUAUGAAUUUUGUUUGCACAAAAGAAUCAUGUUUUUAAUCUAUCAAUACAUGAAAAAAGAAAGUUUGUUCUCGGUUUUGUAUGAGGAUUUAGAAGCUGAGGAAUUCAAUUGCAGAAAAGGACUUAAUUGAUGAUGAAGACAUUGUUAGCAGGGCAUGCAGUUCAAUGGUGCAGAAUAAGAAGAAUAUGGCAGAGAGAGACGAAGAAGAUGGAAACAACAAGGGAUUUUAAUUUCAAAUUUUGUAACUUCUUGAUUUUUAAUUUCGUCCUUCUGUAACUUUUCGUUUUUGGUUUUGGUCCCUGUAAUAUAGUCAGUGAUCUUUUGGAAGGCCACCUAAAUUUCAUAUUUAGGUGUUUUUAAUUUCGUCCCUCUGUACCUUUUCGUUUUUGGCUUUGGUCCCUGUAAUAUGAGGUCAGGGAUCAUCUGUCAGUCCACAUAAGCGUGUUUGGCCAAGUCAGCACCUGCCACGUCACUCACCGUUAGUCAGGAAGGCGUUUUUGUAACAGAGUUUGACGGGAGGGACGAAAAGCAAAAAGUUUAUUAACCUAUAGGGGUUGUUUUAGAACAAAAAAAGAUACAGGGACGAAAACCAAAAACACGCCAAAUUACAGGGACGAUUUACAUAUUUAAGCCUUAUUUUAAACAAUUAAAACACUUACGCUACAUAAUAUUAUCUUUUAAAUAAUUAAAACACUUACGCUACAUAAUAUUAAAUAAUUAAAACACUUACGCUACAUUAUUUUAAACAAUAAACACACUUACGCUACAUAAUAUUAAAUAAUUAAAACACUUACGCUAUAUUCUUUUAAAUAAUUAAAACACUUACGCUGCAUAAUAUUAAAUAAUUAAAACAUUUACGUUACAUUAUUUUAAAUAAUUAAAACACUUACGCUACAUUCUUUUAAAUAAUUAAAACAUUUACGUUAUAUUCUUUUAAAUAAUCACUUUAAAGCAUUUAAAGAAUUUUAAAGAAUUUAAACACUUACAUUAUGAUGGUUCACCCAAAGAGGGUUCGCCACGUGUCUCGCGUAGUCGGACAACAGUGACGUGGUCUCAGGUCCUCCAGAAAAGGGAGGCCCUCCAACAGGAUAUGGCGGUAUCGUCGGAACACGGCGACGUCGUUGCUGAGUCUGAGGCUCAGGCUCACUCUCAAGAACAACAUUUUAUGCCUCAAGAUAAUCCGCCACAACAUCCUCUGGCACCUCCUCAUCACCUGCCACCUCCUCAUCCUCUGCCUCGUCCUGCGGCUGAUAAAAAAUUCUAUCCUCCUCCAUCCGAUCAUAUUCAACAAAACCCUCCUCAUACACAGCAUCAUCAUGCGCUGGUGUCAGAUCAAGCACCUGGGAGGAGUAAUCCAUAUGUACCUGUGAGCUCUAUACACCUAGCCUCGCGUCCUUACGCCUCCCAGUCUUUGGGACAUACGAGUGUUAAUCCACCUUCUCCUUUCGAGCGCUAGCGGUACUCGCCACUUUACCUUUGCGCAUCUUAUCCUCUCUAAUAACCCGUUGCCGCUCAUCCUCAUCCCUAGCCAUAUCUGUACAAAACAAAUUAAAAAUAACAUAAAUAAUUAUUACAUACCACAUUAUGUCAUUCUUCAAACUUAGGCAUAUAUAUAACAUACCACAUUAUGUUAUUCUUCAAACUUGGCAAAAAAUGUAAAAAUUCAAGCUUAUAAUAAUUAUAACAUAUAUACAUUAUAAAAUUAAACAUAUUUGAACAAAAAUUACACAAAAAAAGCAACAUUUUCUCACUUACGCAUUUCAUCAAACACCUUAUGUGCAUUCUAAAUUAGGAGCAUAAUUAGUGUUAUUUGAACAUCUAAACAACUACAUUGUACCUACACUUACUCUAAACAACAAUUACAACAUAAACAAUCCAUCAAAGCAUCUAAAUCAUGCAUAAUUUGCAAUUUUCUAACUUAACCUAAAACUAUCUAAAACUAACAUUUUGCUCAAAAUUAUAAAAACUAACACCCUAAACAAACUACAUUGCAUAUAAAUAGGAAGGAAAGAACUUACUUGUGAAUUAAUUGAAGAAAUUGGGCGCAAAUUCGUGGAGUAGAAGUUUGGAGAAAUUUGGAAGUUGUGUUUCUGGAAAAUGUAAAAGUGAGGGUUCUAUUCUUGUUAAAACGCAGAACUCUAAUGGUAGUUUACUACCGCUGAGGAUAAAAACGUCAUUUACUUCUAUCAAUAGAAAGUAUUCAUUGUAAAAAAAAAAUAAAAAAAAAAAACAAUUUUCAUACCCUUUCCUCAUCCACUUAAAAGAAAAAACGAAAUCAGAGUUAUUUUUCUCUUCGCCCGCGACGCCACAACACCACGGCACCACCGUCUUCUCCGCCGUCAAUAGAGCUACCGUUGCUUCCUGAGGUUAGUUCUCUUACCCCUUUGGUUUCAAUUGCAUAAUUUGUGCUUCAGAUUUCUCUAAUUUUACAAACCUUUUGCUUUCUGUGUGUUUGUGAAUUCCUUUCGUAAAUAAAUUAUUUCAUAGCAAAAAGUUAUUAUAUGCUAAUUGCUAUAUGGUUCAGUGCAUAUUACUUCUUAAAAAAAAAAUUAUUUGCUAAUUGCUACUUCCUUCGUUUCAAGAUACAUAUCGCCGCAGUUUUGCAAUGUGCAUUGUUCAGAUAACUUUGACCAUAUUUUUUAACUAAUAUAUAAAUACAAUUGUUAGCACGUAAGAUUUUGUCCGGUUUGUCUAAAUGAAUAUUUUUUUUUCAAGAUAUCAAAUUUUUAUGAUUUUUUGUCAUAGAUAGUUAAAGAUAUUAAUGAUCAAAGUUGUGUGACUGCGGCAUGUAGUUUAGAAAGGAGGGAGUAAUUAUCUCUUAAUUUUAGAAAGUUGUGUAUUAGCUCUAUUAAAUGGUGAGAAAUAUGAUAGAGAUUGGCUUGUUUAUUCAAAAGAACUUGAUAGAAUAUUUUGUUUUUGUUGUAAAGUUUUUAAAAGAGGGAUUGGUAGAAGUCAAUUAGCAACUGAGGGUUUUAGUGAUCGGUCACAUGUUGGUGUAGCAUGAGACAAGCAUGGAGCAUGUUAAGAGCAUGACUACUUGGAUUAUAUUUGUGUUACUUACAAUGAUGGCUAAUCUUUAUGUUUACUGAUGUUAUUUUUAAAUAGAAGAUUGCUUGUUUAAAAAAAAUUACAUUUUUAGUUUAUCAGGCCCCAUCUUUACUUUGAGAGUCAAGCCUCCAAUUUGAUUGGGACGACCCUGGUUGAGAGUCCUACAUCAACCAGAGAUGUGGCCUAGUAGUGCUUAUGGUUUGGCGUGGGCAGUCCUUAUCUUAUAAGCCGAUUUUGUGCGGUUGAGUUUGGUUAUAAGCUAUUCCUUACCUAUUUUAGAUUUGUUAUUGGGACAAGAUGUUUGUUAUUCCAUCCUCAUCUGUACAUAUUCUAGAUAGUCUGUCUUGGGCUUUGAUAUAUUUCUUGUUCUACCUGCAUUAGUUUUGGACACGUGGGUGUAUGUAUGUUCGCAUGUCGAGAGUUCCACGCCGACUAAAGUUUUGGUCUAGGUAGUGUUUAUAAGGUUUGAACAUUCCUCACUUUACAAGCUGAGUUUGUAGGGUUUAGUUAGGCCCUAAGCCUAAACACUAAGAAUGACUUUGCAACUCAGAAAGAUCCAGUAUUGUUCUUCCUUAUUCAGCACCUUAAGGUGUAUAGGUAGUAUCAAUUUCUUAAUUAAACACAUGUAUUGAGUAAUUUCAUGCUUUUUAACUAUAGCAGAAGAAUGGUCUUCUAUAAACACCUUUAGGUUUUCUUUACCAGUUGUAGGGAAAAAUGUUAUCAUGUUAUUUGUAGUCUAAAUAUCAAGAAUUUAUCGUUUUAGUCUUUUAUGCAUCGUUUGUUGCCUUGUUUUUAUCUUUUCCUUACCUUGUUCUGUAUAAGUUAUACAUGCUGGUUUUCAAUCUGACAGGGUAUAAAGGUUGAUGAUUCAUGAUCUUGAGACAAUCAUUUUGUCCUUGUGCAGGAGGAGGCUUCGAGGCCUGGUGUUAGAACGUUAUAAUACUUCUUCAAGAAAGUGGUUAUAACAUAGCUGGAGUUCAUCCAUUUGAUACAAACUACAUUACAAGUCUCUAAGAAUGACAUUCCAGUAACUUGGCUGAAGAAAUUCUGAAGGUACAGAAGUGCUGAUUUUAUUAGUUUCUGAUUUUGUAACUAAUGAGCUGUUCUAUUCUAUCUUUAUUAUAUAUCUCAUCCGGCUAUGUUUGAUUAUUUCAACGGGGGAGAUAGGAUGAAAUGACAUCUUUUCAAACAUAUGUUUCUUAUAAAUCAACAGUGGUUAGUGAUUAGUGAUUACUUCACUAAAGUCUAAUACUUUUCAUUUGAGGGAGCAUAGAUAGAAAGUAUAGGAUGUUAUUAACGUACAUAGCAUAUACUGGUUUGAGAAGCACGAGUUCACGAUUCUAUUCUCCAUCGUAGUUUCAUUUGGCACAUAGAAGUUGGUUUUUCAUUCUGAUUCCUUUUUCAAAUAUGCGAUGGAGUAUUACUGAAAAAGAGUUGAAAGUACUUUUUGCUUCCACUGUUAAGGACACAAAAUCUUAGACUGCUAAAUGCCUUAGUUGUGUUAUUUUAUUUAAAUACUUUGGCUUUAAUAUUUGGAUUCUUGUCACACAUGCCUCAAAGAUCUACCUGCCAAAGGUAUCAUAAGACUAUAAAUACCUGGGAAGAGGGGGAGUUGGUUAAGCUUAUAUGGUUUGAUAUAAUUAUGUUUUCAUCGAUCAUAAUUGUAACAUCCCCAAUGUUUAUAUAGUAUUAGUAGUUAUAGUAUAAAUGUCCCUCCUUAUUUUAUCAGGAGCUUACACACCAAUUAAAAUAGAAUGAAAAUGAGAAAAGGGGUAAAAUAGUAAUUGUAUCCUAGUCAUAUAAGUAGGAAAUCUCACUAAAAUAAAUAAAUAAAUUACAUCUUCUCUCUCAAACGAAAGAAGAGGGGAAGAAUUUCUUCUCCCAAUUCUUCUCAUUCCUCCAUUAAAUCUUUCAACUAGGUGAGUUUUCUUCUUAAAUUUUCAAUUCAAACCUAGAAAUUUCUUUUGAAAAUGAGAAAUGGAUGUUGAAAUUGGGGUUUAGAGAUUCUUAUGGGUAAGGGAAUAGAGAUGAGUUAUGGGCUGAAAAUUCAUAAGUUUAGAAUUGUUAUUAGUAAUUGCAUGUGUAGGAAAAGUGAUGGGUAUGAUGAAUAUUGCUAUGCUCAUAAGUUUAAAUUUUAGAAGAGUUGAAAUUCCAUAAUUUCGGUAAUUGAAUGAUGAUUUUAGGGACCUCAAUAGAUUUAAUGAUUAAACUAUGUUUUAUACCUUUGAUUGAACACUACCCUUGACUCUUGAUUGAUGAUGGUAAAUUGAUUUGGGACUGAAAUUGAAUUGUGGAAACUGUUGGGACUGUUUUGGAUGUGUUAUGCAGAAAAAUAGUGAAGAGCCUGCAGAUUUGCAUGUGGGCAUCGAUGUCAACACUGGUGGCUUCGAUGCCCAGGCUCUGACUGCUCAUUUUUGUUGUUUUGAUCCGGUUUAUGGUGUUCAAUGAUCUGUUAUAGUUCUGAUGAGUCUGAAACAUUUCUAGUGCUUGUUAAAAUCACCUUUAUUCUUUUAAAAAUGUAGGAAUGGACAUUGGUUAUGUGAUGUACUGAUGAUGAAUGAGAAUUAUUAUGUUCCUAUUAAAUCUUAGGUUAAUUAGAUAGUAAUAGAAGAUAUAUAAUACACAAAAAUCAUGGAUUAGGUACACACACACAAAGUAUGAAUGAUUUUCAUAGAUUAACUCAAGAGGUGUGGAGUCUUAUAUUGAUAUGAAUGAGUUUUAUAGAUUAACUCAAGAGGCGCAUUUUCAUAGUUAAUAUGUAUGAGCUUUCUAGAUUAAUUUACGAGGAAUAGGUUCAUAUAUUCAUGUGUGUAUAUAUAUAAAAGUUAUGGCAGAUUGUGAUGUUCUACACUAUAGCAUUGUUCAAGCAUUUGAUUAUAUGUUGUUAAGUAAUUAUUAACUUAUGAAUUGGAGAUGUAUGGUAACUGUUUGAUGUUGAUGCUUAGCCUAGGACUAGGAUAUUAGUCUUGUUUUUAGUACUUCUGUAGACUUUAUGGGAACGCACUUUAUGCAAUCCCUUAAUGUUGUUGUACAUAUGACUUAAUCAAGUAUAUAACCUUCAAGUAUGUGUAUUAUCCUUUGGUAUCCAUUAUCGAUGUGUAACAACUUAAAUAGUAUUUUAGAUUAUUGUUUGGGUGUUUUAUUAAUAUUCUCUAAACUUAAGGAUUUCAUGCACAAAAAGUAUUUAUAAUUUAUUCUCAUCGACAGGUAUUUUUUUCUUGCUUAAACUUCAGGUGAGAAGUGAGGAAAAGGAACUUAGUGGUAGGAGAAUGGUGAUCUCUAGUACCAAUCCCCACUAUAAGGAGAUAGCCAUCAGGAAGAGAAUCGCUAGCAUGUAUAUUUUUCUUUCUCACAUUGUAUCUUGCUUGUUUUGUGUAUGUGACACAAGAAAUACUAGAUGAAUCAUGUCUUUGAAGUUUCUAGAUUCUACUCGUAGUAUGGAUAUAAUGCAAAAACAUUCAAUUUAGAGUCAUAAAAUCCUGCAGAAUUUGAUUGAUAGAUUAUUACAUUUUGUUCUGGAUGAAAACAUUAUUGAAGUUGGGUCAAGAAAAAAAACAUUAUUUAAGUUGCAAUAGUUAGCAAAAUUUGUGUAGUAAAGAAAUAGGUAUCAUAUUCUAAACUCUGGACUCUCACUUUUUGGGGUCCAUGUUAUAUUGAAUUCAUUCAAGUAAUUAAUUUAUGCUUGAUUGUAAAUAUAUAGAUUCAAUAAACGGGAAGAUGAUUUUCCAUCUUUGAAAGAGUACAAUGAUUACUUGGAGGAAGUAGAGGACAUGAGUAAGCUUCUAUAGUGACGCUGACUUAAAUUUCCGUUGGUAAUUUUUGCUUUAUUUUGAUGAAAUUCCUCCCCUUUUCCCUGCAGCGUUUAACUUGAUUGAAGGAAUAGAUGUAGCUGCUAUUGAAGCUAGGAUUGCUAAAUACCAGGAAGAAAAUUCUGAACAAAUAAUGAUUAAUCGAGCCCGAAAGGUACUUAUAAUAGUCUCCAUUGGUUCAGUCUCUUCUAUCUGCCCUGUAUCAAUUUGUUAUGCAAGUGCUAGUUUCAUGCUAUAUAUUUUGAUGUGUUGUUGUGCUUGUAAUAAUUAAUUAGGCUGAGGAAUUAGCUGCAGCUAUGGCAACAAGCAAGGGACAACCUGCCCAAACUGAUAAUGAUGUAAGUAUUGGAUUUUUUUCUUAUAUGUAUUCAUUAAGAUUACAUUUUUGGCACAUAUCGUCGAACCUAAUUAAGUUUGGCCUAUAAUUUGAGAUUGAAAUGUAUUUAAGUGAUUGACCUCUUCUGAGUGAUACUUCCAAUUAAGCGUUUUUUUUUUUUUUUUUUGGUUUGAACAUCUAUUCUGUGUCGCCUAGCCUAUUUAUAAGACAAAUUUAUGCAAUAGAUUAUUAACUUUGUUCAUUCUCGAAACAGGAUGCAAACCCAAAUUCUCAAGCAGGGUUUGGUGCUGUUCCUCAAGGGCAAUAUGCACCUACAAUUGCAGGAGGACAGCCUAGACCCACAGGCAUGGGACCACAACCUUUACCGCUUGGUGGAGGUGACGCGGGCUACGUAGUUGAGAACGAGGAAACAUUGCGGCGACAAGCAAGGGCUGGAGGAUGGAGUAUAGAAAUAAGCAGGAAGAGGGCACUUGAAGAAGCCUUUGGAAGCAUUUGGAUUUCUUAGAGACACAUUCAUUCUGAUACAUGGGAUGCCUUGGAAGGUGUCACAUGGUCAUUCUGAUACAAAUGGUGUAGAAUGUAAGAUUUGUCACAAUUUUGUUAAGUUAGCACAAAUUUAUAAUGGGAUGCCUUGGUUCAUCUUUCUUUUGGAUUGUUAGUUGUAUUUAUUUGUAAAAUUAUUCCUCAAUUUUCCUUGUUGUAGGUCUAAUCUUGUUUAGUUGAUAUUUGUCAACGCAAACACAACUCAAACUGAGAUUUAUUUGGAGGAAUAGAGACUUUUUGAAGUCUAGGUGAAGAAAAAAUAUUCUAAAACAAUGUAGUUUCUCAUUUUAUUUUUUUUGGUAAUCAUGUUCAAUCCCUUGAAUCACAUGUGCUUGUUGGUUUUAUUCGAUUCUCUGGGUUUUUUUUUCUUCUAGAUAUUGGCACAUCUGAGAUUGCUUUUAACAACUAAAUAAUGUUGGGAGCAACUUUCUCCGCCAAACUACAAGUUCUUUCGAUCUAGAUCGAACUGUUAAUAGUCAAGCUCAGUAAAUAAAAAGUAAAAUCUGAUUUUCUUUGAAUAGUCUGAUCAAAAUCGGACGGUCAUUGUUUUGAAUGCGCAAUCCACCUGUGAAUCCGAUUUCAAACUACACAUAUCUUUAGAAGUGUAUUAUUUUAGUUGAUAUAUUCUGCUAAUUUGAUAUCUCAUUUAGAUCUAAAAUCUUUUGAUAUCUCACACCUACAACUAAAUUAAACUAAUUCAUUUCAUUCUAAUUAUCGAAAAACGAAGAUGAUAUAUUCUGCUUUAAAAUGUACUUUCAGAUGUACAAAAUUCACAUUUUUUUAAAUGUGUACAUCUAAAAUGAUGUAGAUGUUUGUUUACAUAAUUAAAGUCUUGUAUGCAUCAGUUUUAUUUUCUAGGAAAAUAUAUAGUGCUUGCGUAUAGGUAAAAUUACAUUUGAGAGAGAAAAAUGGAGUCAUACUUCUUUAAGUUAACGUGGUAAAUCACACUUUUACGAGGUGAUUUUAUGCUUUUUAAGUAUUGAUGACUAACAAUUUCUUUCAUGACAAUUCUUUUCCUCAUUAGAAAAUGAAGUUGAGUUUAGUUCUCAACCAAACUUGAGACUGACCCAAGUUAAAUUCCACAUCUUCUAGACUAUAUAUAAGUCUCACAUUCUCAUGUCUCUUUGCUUCAUUUUUUUUAAUAGAUGAGAUGGCAAAACUAUCAUAAACUCACACACACAAAAUGGAGGUACUGAGGUCCGAACCCCGAUCAUGACGUCCGGCCUAACAAUUUCGGCAUUUUUACCGGUUGAGUUAGGACUUCUGGGACUGCUUCAUUUUAUUUAUACUACGUGUAUGCUUCAUUUCAAGCAUUAUUUUUGAUUUAGUGAUUUGGAUGACGCACAAGUGAAACUUAAUAAUAAAGUAUAUACUAGAUUAGUAGAUUCCUUUAUUCAAAGCUGCAAAAUAAUGAACUAUGCAAAACUCUGCCACAAAAGCUACCGCAAAAGUGUUAGCAAAAUAAUUGGAAGGUGAUGUAUCAAAGUCAAGUUUUUUGUACAGCUUUCUCUUAAAAGUUCACAACCAAAUAAAUAUAUUAUCUUUAUAUACACUAAACUAAAAUAAUAUCAACUAGCCAAAACCUAUCCCAAAAAACAUAACAAUGCUCUUAUUUAAUUUGAUCCUUUAAUUCAAGUUUUUAUAGCAGUUUAAAUGGAAUAAUAUAAGCAAUUUUAUUAAAACCUUGAUGCUAGCCUGAGCCUGAUCAUAAGAUACUCACACACGAAAUUCUCUUUAAGCUUAGGUUGUUAACAAACACAUGAAACGUUUUGUGUCAGUUUUAAGAGAGGAGUGUGGAACUUAUAUAUAAUUUGUUUGUCAUUUGUGGGGUUGCGUCAAGGGUGUGGUACUUGUGUCUAGAUAGUUAGGAUGAGAGUGGGUUUUACGGGAGUUUGUUGGAGUUAUUCCAUAUUGUUAGGAGGUAGGGAUGGCAAUUAGAUCAAAAUCUAAUGGUUACCUGCAAAAAAUAUCUACAAUGGGUAAGUUAAACCACGCUAUGAUGAGUCCAGACUUAAGUUCGAGUAAUUACCCACAAAUUUAGAUGGGUACGGACACGGACACGGAUAAGGGUGAGACUUUGUGAAAUCAAAGUUCCCUAAAUGAGUUGCGCAUCAAUGUAGGUCUUCUUUCCUUUUAUCCCCAACACAACUAAUUCACUAUCCAUUUUUAAGAUAAUUUAUCUCAUACGGCAUUGUUAUAUUGAUCGGGUGUACCACGCCAAUGCUUUAGUGCAACACUCGUGGUUACAUUUCCCAUUCGCUUAUCCAGGGAACAAACUUCCAACCGAAAAUGAGAGCAAUAUUCAAGCAAUGAGUAAAUAUUACUUUCCUUUUCAAAUUGGAAAUGAUGGGGAUGCCUUGGUUCAUCUUUCUUUUGGAUUGUUAAUUGUAUUUAUUUGUUAAAUUAUUCCUUAAUUUUCCAUGUUUGUAGGUCUAAUCUUGUUUAGUUGAUAUUUGUCAACGCAAACACAACUCAAAUUGAGAUUUAUUUGUGGGAAGAGAGACUUUUUAAAGUCUUAGGUGAAGGAAAAAAUAUUCUAAAACAAUGUAGUUUCUCAUUUUAUUUUUUUGGUAAUCAUGUUCAAUCCCUCAUUCCCUUGAAUCAUAUAUGCCUGUAGAUUUUAUUGGUUUUUUUGGUUUCCUCUGGAUUUUGGCACAUCUGAUUUUGCUUUUAACAACUCAACAAUGUUGGGAGUAAUUUUCUCUGCCAAACUACAUGUUUGUUCGAUCUUCGAACGAUUUAUAAUCAAGCUCAAUAUUUUAAAUGAUAAAAUAAAAAGUAAAGUAUGAUUUUCUUUGAACGAUCUCUUAUCAAGAUCCCACAGUCAAUAUGUGAAUGUAUGAUCAUGUUGACGGUUGGAAAUGCAAUUUCAAACUACACAUUUCUUUAGUAGUGAAUUAUUAGAUGAUCUAUAUAUUUUAUUUAAAAAUGUACAUUCAGAUGGUACAAAAGUCACAUUUUUGUGGAUGUGUACAUCUAAAAUGAUGUAGAUGUAUGUUUCCACAAUUAAAGUCUUGUUUGCGUAUUGGUAAAAUUACAUUUGUGAGUGAAAAAUUGGAAUCAUACUUAUUGAAGUGUUAUCGUGGUAAAUCACACUUUUAUUUUAUGCUUUUUAAGCGUUCAUGACUAACAAAUUCUUCAUUGUAAUUCUUUUCCUCAUUGGAAAGAAAAUGAAGUUGAGUUUAGUUCUCAACCAAACUUGAGACUGACCCAAGUUCAAAUCCACAUCUUUUAGACUAUAUAUAUAAGCCUCACAUUCCCAUCUUUGUAUGCUUAGUUAUAAACCCUAAUAUCCACCUCAAGCAUACAUUAUUAAUAUAAAACAUAUACAUUUUGUUUUAAGAAUAAUAUAAAACAUAUACAUCAUUUACAUAAAAUACAACAAGUCAAUAGUAUAAUGCAGUGGUGAAAUAUAAUUAAAUAAUUACAUGAAUGUUAUACUUAAAUGUUAACAUUAGAAGGUGUGUGAUCGGCCUAAGUGGACAUAAUAUCGAAAGAAAUAAUAUUAUACAAUUAUUUUAUGAUAAUUUGUGGAACAACUCUCUCAUAGUCUAUUUAUCAUAUUUUCAUUAUAUUUUUACUCUCUUUCUAUUGCUUUAAUUUUUCAUAUCAAAUAACUAUAUAUAUAUUUUUUUUAUAUAUAUAUUUGGUUGUCGGAUAAAUCAUUUCAAAAAUAAUUGGUCUAUAACAUUUUUUUGGGCAAGUUGUUUUUUUUUUUAAGAUUUUUUUGGACAAGUUGUUCAAAUAAAUUACUGUCUUUAUUAAAAAAAAUAUAUAUUUCUAUCUAUCAUCUAGGAUAGAUUUUAUGACAAAAGGUUGUGGUCACAUUGUACACGUGUAGUACCACCAUUAUUCUAUUUUUGGCUGACAUGGACCCACCCUCUUAGUUGGACCCAGCACCUACACGUGGUUCCUUUGAAACCACAUUUUACACUACCAUGUACCAUAUGAUCAUAUUUAUUAUUGAACUAAUCUUUUUCGUUUUUUUGUUAAAAUCAUUAAUCUAAUCUAAUUGCUCUAACCAACGUCGUUUUUUCAAAAAAGGAAAAAAGCAUGUCGUUUAUUACAUAGCUGCAGCCGACAACAACUAUUAUCCGUUUACAAUUUAAUACUUAUUAUUAUUUUUUUCAAAUUGAGUUUAUCAACUUAUUAUUAUUUUUAUUGUAAAAAAAGCUUAUUAUUAUUUACUAUAUGUGAAGGAAAAAAAAAGUAUAAAAGAGCACAAAUAUGUUGAUCUUUUCAGGUGGGCAUUAAUUUUUUUAAAAUGACAAAAUUUAGUUAUUAAUGGUAAUUUAUUUUAAGGCGAACGAAAAUUAGAUUAAUAAGAAUGAAAGCGUACAAAAACGAGGGAUAUAGGACCUGAUUCAAACGGAUAAUAAUAUAAUAUACUAGUGGUCUAACUACUAGCUCAUCGUAACAAACGAAACGAAUACUAGUGGUCUAACCCUUAGUUCAUCCUAACAAACGAACCAUGAUCACGAGCACAAACGAACGCAAAAUUAGAUUGAAAAAAAUGUGUUGUGAGAACAUUUGAAGCACUUAUCAGAGGUUAAAACAAAUAUUACUGGUAAAAUUAACAGCUAACUAAUGUAUAAUAUUUAUAUUUCAUCAGAAAGAUAUUUAAAAGAAUCUAAAAUUAAUUUUAUCCUUUCAAGCUCAUUAUGUUUAUGUUUACCUUAUCAUUUCUUAUAUUACUGUUCUUUUCUUCUUUCCUUUUUUAUUUCGAGUACAAGUAAUAAACUAUGUAGCCACAAAAAAAAACAAGAAAAAGAAAAACAAAGCAAAACUACCUUAUGAUUUUGCACUAAUCUUGGCUAAAUAAUCUGCACAUUACACAUAAUAUGGUUUUUGAAAUAUAUAUUUAUUAUUUUCAUAUAUAAUAUAAAUUUUCAUUUCAAGCAUUAUUUUUGUUUUAGUAGUUUGGAUUACAUACAAGUGAAACUCAAUAAUAGAGUAUAUACUAGACUCCUUUAUUCAAAGCUGCAAAAGUGUUAACAAAAUGAUUGGUAGGUGACAUAUCAAAUUCAAAAAAAUUGUAUAGUUUUCUCUUAAAAGUUCACAACCAAAUAUAUUAUUAUCUUUAUAUACACUAAGCUAAAAAAAAUCUCAACAAGCUAAAACCUAUCCCAAAAAACGUCUUCGAAAAGAUUUCAAAUAGUAAAUCAAAAUCAAACUCUACUACUUAGUUCUUUAAGGAUAUUUGUGCACAUAACUUCUUUUUUUUUUUUUUUUUUUUUUGUCAAUUUGUACACAUAACUUAUAAAGUAAUAUCAACAAUUUUUUUAUUGUUCUUUCAAAAAAAUUAUUGUUGUUGGGUAAGUUGAGAGAAAUUUUCAAAAUAAAAAUUAUUAAAACAUUAUUUUUGAUAUACUGUAUUACAAGGUAAAUUAAAUAUCGUAUUUUAAUUUCUAUAAAAAAUUAUAUUUUAAUAACUUUAAUUAUGAUCAAACUAUUAAUAGUUUAGCAAAUGCAAAGAAGAUAAUAUACAAAUUUUGAGGGACUAAUAUACAAAUUCUAGGAACUAGGUUCUCUCUCUUACUUGGCACUAACUUUCUACUCAUUCUAAACUUCAUCCUUUUGCAUGUCCAUUUCCAAAUUAUUUAUGGAUAGGAUGUGACAUCUUUACUUGUUUCUUACGGUUUGGAAUCAAAAUGCAUCUUCAUUCAAACAUGUCCAAAUAAAUGUACUUGUCUUUUAUUUCAAACGUGAAUAUGAGGUUUUUUAUGACAACUUUCUCUCUUAUACUUAUAUUAUAUUUUCAUUUUCUCUUUCCAUUGUUUUGAUUUUUGUGCCUAAAUUCACAUUUUUUUGUAUAUUAUGGUUGUCCCACAAAUUGUCCCAUAAAAUAAUUGUUCAAAUAACACUCAUCCUUUUAUAAAUAGAUUAGACAUGACGAGAAUAUAGUGACACAUCUUUCAAAAAAAGAAGUCACACACACAAGUCCAAUAUUUGAUACAUAAACUUAAAUGACCGAAUUUAAUUUAAUUUAAUUUUUUUUUUACAAAAGAUCACUGAAUUUAAUUUGUUUUUAUUUUAUUUUAUAUAUUGUACAUAAAAAACAUCAAACAAAUCAUUUAUUAAAAGGAUUUAAUUAUAUGAACAUAUACUUUCUUACGGUUAGUUCAUAUGAACAAAUGUUGUUGACGGUGUAAUGAGUAAAAACAAAGUUGUUGACGGUAAAGUGUUUUUGCACAUUUAUUUAAUCACAUCUUACUAGUAUUAAAUACUCACUGUAUUUUAUUAUAUGUGUCUCAUUUGAUGUACGAUUCUUAUAAAAUGAAUUUUAUUUACUAAAAUAUUAUUAUUUAAUUUUUUUUAUCAGAAAUGUAAAAUCAAAUUAUCAAAAAUAGAAAAGAACUUUGAAAUCAAAAUUCAUUCUUCUUGAUUGUCAAAGUAUAUUUAAGACUAAUUGUAUGUUUUUAAUUAUAUCUUUAAGAAAAGAUGACUUUUUGGUAAACUCACAAGUUGAGGUAAUCCACUUGCAUGAGUAAUCAAGCUUUUAAGCAAACAAAAAAAAAAAUCAACAGUUGUUAGAGGUAAUCCACUUGCAUACGUUGUGUUUUGGAUCUCUACAAUUGGAAUACUAAUUGGAGAUGUAGAAGUAUCUUCAAUUUUUUUGGACAUGGUAUAAUUUUGUAAUUUCAAUUUGGUCUCAAUCCGUAGUUUUUAACUCUAAAAAUGAUCCCUCAAAAAAAAAAAAACUCUAAAAAUGAUAAUUUUCAUCGCCAUAAUCGGCUUAUAAGGUAAGAAAUACCACUAUUUAUAAAGACAUUUCAAAACAUAUCUCAUUCAAUUUGGGUAAUUUUAAAACUUCCAUCUGUAAAAUUGAACAUCUAAAAUAUGACACAAGUGGUUCGACUAACAGUUAAUCCAAUAAAUUUAAGAUAGACUAUGAUGCCAUUUUAAAAUUUUCGUUGAAUCUAAUUUAAUCUUACAAAAUCAACUUAUAAAAGGUGAAUCAUUGCUAAAAAUCAUAAUUUUUAGGAUGAAAAACCUGAGUUGGUCCUAAAGUGCAAAAAAAUGUCAAAGUUUGGGGACCAAAAAUUUUGAUUUUAAUAAAGGAGAACUAUGAACCAAAAAUACAAUUAUGCUCUAUAAGAAUCAUGAGUUAUGACAUAUGUAUAUCAUGAUUCACGGUAAAAUAAAAUGGACUAGCAUGUAUUUUUGGGACAGGAUAUAAGUACCAUGUUAUGUGUUCCAAAAGGGACAGUCUCUUUUAUUUGGAUCUAUGCCUCCAAAAUGUGGAAAAAGGGACCCUUAAAAGCAAAAGAUAUUAAAACCCAAAAAAGGGUGACGCAUCUAGUGGCAAGUAUAAUACUAGACGUUUCUAUCUAUCUGUAUAUUAUAUCUACAUCUAUAUGUAUGUAUCAAUCAAGCUUUGCUGUUGUCAGUGUAACAAACACGUGUUACAUAAACAUGACAACAAAGUGAAAAUAAUCAAACCUCAAAAAAGUGUUGGAGGAUUUUGGAUUGGAGUGUAGUGUGUGUGCAAGUGAUAGAUGCACCAACUUUCAUAUCAUAUGUAGUCCAACCUUUACUUCAUGCAACCAUAGUAUAUACACUGUUAUAUUCCUAAAAGAAUUUGUAUAUUCUAUUUAUUUUACUUUAUUAGAGAAUUUUAUAGAAUUGUAUAUACUAUUUAUCCAUACAUGUAGAAUAUAGGUAACGAAAGAGACAUUGAUCAUUCUUGGUUGAUAUAUAGUUAUAAUCAUCAUAAUUUUAUAACAUAUUUUGACCUCUAUGUUGAUUUAUCAACAAAAAAAAUUGUUAAAAGAACUCAAAACAAGUAAUAACUUUAUAUAAUAACCAAUAUUUCAAGAGCACCUUUAGUAAAUUAUUUUAUAAUGCGGAGUGAUUCAAUCUCUUCUUUCCAAUCACAUCAUUCUUAGAAAAACCGCAAUUUUUAAAUUUGGUUAAGUGACAAAUCUCAAAUUAAGAAGUCCAACAUAAUCCUGAGUCGGCUCUUAUACAUAUCCAUUGAUAUACUACAAUCAUAUCUUGCCUUUUUUUGUGUCAUCCAUCAAUCUUAAAAUAAGUGUUUGUGUAUAUCCGUAAAGUAUCUCAUACGUAUCCAAUAAAAAAGAGUAUAAUACGUUAGAAAGAAAGAGAUAGAAAAAAACAAGAUGUUUGAUUGUCCGUAUAAAUUUAGAGGUGAUUAUUUAUUAGAUCUAAUCACUAGAGAUGACUGCAUAAUAAAAAAUAAAUUUACAAAAAUACCCUCUAAUCAUACUUCCUUCAUUUCAUAUAUUUUGGUGAAAUAUUAAUUUGUUUUAAAUUAUUUAUUAUUAUUAUUUUAAUAACAACAAUAAACUAUUAAAGGUGUGUUUCCAAUAAUAUAAUAUCUUUGUCCCUUAGUACAUAUUUGUCUUUGCAUCUCAAUAAACUCUAUAUAAAAUAAUCUUUAUAUUAUUGACCUUAUUGAUUGCAUUGAUUACAUUCACCUGUAUAGUACCUUUUUCCUGUUUUGGUCUCUUUCUCUCACUUUGAUGAAUUCAUAGAAAUUAUUAUGAUGAAGUGAAAAUAGUACUAACCAUCUUAAUAGUAUAGUACUAGUAUCUGUUAUUUCUAAUCUAUCAAUGUUUUUUAUGUCUCUUUCAUUCAUUUUAUUCACUUGCUUACACAAACGGCAACCUUAACUACUAUACUUACUCACACCAACUUAUUCUUCUCUCUCUCUCUACACAAUUCUCUUCAUCAACCAUCAAGUAAGAGACACCUUCACCCUUCAUUUAGAGCAAGGAAUUCUUUUAAUCCCAUUAUACCCUUUACAACUCAUAGUUCUUAGUUCUUACCUUUGUGUUUUGUUUUUUAGUUGGAAUUUAUAUAAGGUUUAUGUUUUAGUAGGGAUCAUAGGUUUAUGUUUGGUUUUUUUCACAUUAAUUAUAUGUACAAAUUUUUAGGUGGAGGGGUUGGCCUAAUUUUGUUUCUUUUUUCUUUUUGACUUUGGUGUUGAAAAUUUGAUCUUUGUGAUUAGUGUUUCUUUGAUGAUUCCAAUGAAAAUUAGAAGAUCAUUUAGAAUUUUUAGUUGAAAAAAAAAGAAGGAAAAAAAUGCCUCAAGGUGGAAAAAAGAGGAUACAUUUUAGCAAACUAUAUUCAUUUUCAUGUUUCAAAUCAUCAUAUAGAGAUGGUCAUUCACAAAUUGGAAAAAAAGGGUAUUCAAGAGUUGUUCAUUGCAAUGAUGCUGAUAAUUUUGAAGCAAUUCAGUUGAAAUAUGGUGGAAAUUAUGUUUCAACUACCAAGUAUACAGCAUUUAAUUUUAUACCUAAGUCUUUGUUUGAACAAUUCAGAAGAGUUGCAAAUAUCUACUUUCUUGUUGUUGCUUGUGUUUCUUUUAGUCCUUUAGCACCUUAUACAGCUUUAAGUAUUGCUGCACCUUUGGUGGCUGUUAUUGGUGCUACUAUGGCUAAAGAAGCUGUGGAAGAUUGGAGAAGGAGAACACAGGUACUGUUUCAAUUUUUCUUUUCUUUAAUGCCCUUAGGUCUUGUUUGGAUAAACAAUUUAUUUAACUGCUUAUCAUAUAAGGGCUUAUCUGUUUUCAUAUAAGCUAUAAGCUGUUUUCAUAUGUUAUCCUGGAGAGCUUAUGGAAAUAAGCUGAAAAACAACGUAAGGACAUGUCAUAAGCUGUUUUAAGAAGUCCUCCCAAACAAUCUCAUAAGUAGUAAUGUCUGUAGAUAAGCUUAAAUAAGUCAAUUCAAACAGAUUCUUAAUUGACCCUCCUCCUAGUGGUAGUUUCUGUAAAGGUUUACAUUUGAAUAUGUCCUAUAAAAUUGUAGUAUAUACUCAAUUGGUGAAAUCAUGCCUUUAUGAACUAGUUUGCAGUUGUGGCUUUAAGUAGAAAGUUAUGAGUAGGUAGGUAGUAUUGCUGAUGUAAUUUGUUGGUACUAAUGCAGUUUUCAAUGUUAAUUAUUUUGUAUGGUGGAAUCAAGCUUUUAUUAAGAAUAUCAAUUAUGAUCUUGAUGCUUCUUAUGGAAUAUUAGGUUGGAAACUAGGCUUAAUAUCUUUAUUAUCUUACAAUGCAGAAAAGUUCAAAAAUGAUUCUAGGAAACUAAUUAAGUGUUGCUUUAUGCCGAAGUAACUUAUGCGUACCAUAUUUAUGUGUCUUUUUGUUUUCAUUUUCUGUUGAUAAUUUGCUUUGGAUAUGCUUCAACUUUGUCCUGUUACGAGUCACAAUUUUCAAUCGUAUCUUUCAAUCUUUAGUUCUAGACAGUUUUCUUUUUCAUUGAUAAAUGCCAUUUUCGAUCGGUUCUUCAGGAUAUAGAGGCGAACAACAGAAAGGUUCAGGUAUAUGGGAAAAACCAUACAUUUGUGGAGACAAGAUGGAAGAAACUUCGUGUCGGUGAUGUGAUUAAAGUGUACAAGGAUGAAUACUUUCCUUCUGAUCUUCUUCUGCUUUCGUCAAGCUAUGAGGACGGUGUUUGCUACGUUGAAACAAUGAAUCUUGAUGGAGAAACUAAUCUAAAACUAAAGCAAGCCUUGGAAGCGACAACUCGUCUUAACGAUGAAAAAUCUCUGCAAAGGUUUAGGGCUAUGGUCAAAUGUGAGGAUCCUAAUGAAAAUCUAUACUCAUUUAUUGGAACUUUUGAGUAUGAAGGUGAAGAACAUCCUCUUUCGUUGCAACAGAUCCUUUUAAGAGAUUCUAAGCUGAGAAAUACAGAAUAUAUAUGUGGUGUUGUCAUCUUCACCGGUCAUGACACGAAAGUGAUGCAGAAUUCUGUUGAUCCUCCAUCAAAAAGGAGCAAAAUUGAGAGAAAAAUGGAUAAGAUAAUUUACAUUCUCUUUAGUACCUUGGUUUUGAUAUCCUUUAUCGGAUCUAUGUUUUUCGGUGUCGAUACCGAAAAUGAUAUUAAUAAUGAUGGAAGUUACAGAAGAUGGUAUCUUCAUCCGGACGAAACAACCGUAUAUUACGAUCCUAAAAGGGCAGGCCUUGCUUCGAUUCUUCAUUUUUUGACUGCCCUUAUGUUGUAUGGAUAUCUGAUUCCAAUAUCACUUUAUGUGUCGAUAGAAAUUGUGAAAGUUCUUCAGACUAUUUUCAUCAACCAAGAUCAAGAAAUGUAUUAUGAAGAAUCAGAUAGGCCGGCUCAUGCGCGGACAUCUAAUUUGAAUGAAGAACUUGGUCAAGUUGAUACCAUAUUGUCUGACAAGACCGGUACGUUGACAUGUAACUCCAUGGAGUUUGUCAAAUGUUCAAUAGGGGGUGUUCAGUAUGGCCGUGGUAUUACGGAAGUGGAGAAGGCACUUGCUAGGAGAGCGAAAAACGGGGAAUCUGAAGGUGAUGCUUAUUCAUCUGAUUUCGUGAAUGAGAGUAGCGAUGUUGUGGACUCUCAGAAGACAGUUAAGGGCUUUAACUUUAAAGAUGAACGAAUAAUGAAUGGACAAUGGAUUAAUGAACCACAUCCGGACAUCAUAGAGAAAUUCUUUCGAGUUUUAGCCAUAUGUCAUACAGCUAUUCCUGAUGUAGAUAAAUCGUCGGGAGAAAUUUCCUAUGAAGCCGAGUCACCGGAUGAAGCCGCAUUUGUCAUAGCUGCAAGGGAGCUUGGUUUUGAGUUUUUCGUUAGGACACAAACAAGUAUUUCGUUGCAUGAAUUGAAUCAUGAAAGCGGAAAAAAGGUUGACAGGUUGGCUAAAUCCUUUUACCAUGUUUGAUAUAACAUCACUGAUAAGCCUGCGUUAUGUUAACUUCUAUCAAUAGGCUUGAACUUUGAACCUGUUUGAUAUUUUGAUCCAUAAUCUGGCAUACUAAGAAAAAAUAAUUUAAAAUAUUUUUGAAAAUCUUUUAUGUAUCUAUAUUGUAAUUUUUGCACAUGCUCAUUCUUUUUGAAUUUUUUGUUUAAUUAUUUAUUGUUGACUUCUUUGAUGAGUAGAGUGUACCAGCUUCUGCAUGUCUUAGAGUUCAGCAGUUCGCGCAAAAGAAUGUCAGUGAUAGUGAGGAACGAGGAAAAUAAGAUAUUGCUCCUAUGCAAGGGUGCAGACAGGUUUCAAUUGCUAUCCACAUUUUUUUAUUGGGUUAAAUAUAUUUUGAGUCAAUAAUUUUCCUCCCUCUAAACAUUUUGUUCAGUUUUCGUCCCUAUUUUUAUUAGUCCAUAAAAAAGUAGUACUUUAGUCCCUGGUCGAUGAAGUUUCAACAAUUUUUGUGUAGGGACUAAACUUGAAAUAUUCUGAAUUUUAUAGGGACUAAAAAUAUAUUUAACCAAUAUUUUGAUAUGACGGAAUUGUUAAGUGUAAGUUGCACGUUAUGAUUGCAAAUUCUGUAUUUCCAUGCAGUGUGAUGUUUGAAAGGCUCUCACAAUACGGAAGAGAGUUUGAAGCCGAAACUAAUAAUCAUAUCAAAAGAUAUUCCGAGGCAGGUUUAAGAACUCUUGUAAUCACGUACCGUGAACUUGGCGAAGAAGAGUAUAAGCAGUGGGAAAAGGAGUUCUCGAAGGCCAAAACCUCUUUAGCAGCAGACCGAGAUGCACUUGUGGAUGCAGCUGCUGACAAGAUGGAAAGAGAUUUGAUACUUCUUGGAGCUACAGCAGUUGAGGAUAGACUUCAAAAAGGGGUUAGUAUAAAAUUUCAUUCGAGUAUUUUUACCUCGGGAUGAUGAAAUAUGAUUGAACGUCUAAUUAAAACUUACUUGCAUUAUCAAUGUCAAUAUAUAGUUAUUAAACUCAGUUUAUGCAUUGCGAUAAUUAAAUAGAAGUUUCUUACACACACACACACGAAAGAACUCAAGAUUCAGGCAUAGAUAAUAACAGAAAAUAUUAGUAUAGCAGAUCCAGUUCUAAAGAAAACAAAUAAGUAAACCGCACAGAAGACCACAAGCGGUUGAUCACGGAGUUUGGCCAAUUGUGCCUACGUCCCUGACAACAAAGUGUCUGCUUUAGUUUUUCGGUUAUGCAACUGCCUUAAUAUAAAAUAUGAGUCAUACUCAACAAAAUAAAUCCAAUAUUACUUAACAACGUUAAUUAUGUGCUUGAUUAGUCAAUGAAGUUAGCUUUGUUUACUUAAAAAUACAGGUUCCUGAAUGUAUCGAAAAGCUUGCUAAGGCAGGAAUCAAGUUAUGGGUAUUGACUGGGGACAAAAUGGAAACUGCCGUCAACAUAGGGUACUUCAACAAGGCUUAUUCUGCUUUCUAUUUCUAAUAAAUGUUGUCAAAUAGAGGCUAUAGUGACACUACAAUGUAGCGGAAUUUCAACAAAUUGCUAUUGUUCUGCUUCUGCCAUACGUGAUUUAGUGCAAAGUACUACUCUCCGAUAGCAGCUACAACAGAACUAUAGUAUUGUAACAUAGCAAAAUUUGAACAAGCCGCUGUUUGUUGCGAUCUGUGAUUGACAACACUGGAACUUUCUAGGGAAGUUUAUUAAGUUGAUACUAAUUGCCCCUCCCUUUUGACAGGUAUGCUUGUAGUUUACUUAGACAAGAUAUGAAACAAAUAGUGAUCACUCUUGAUUCAUCUGAUAUCAUAUCAAUAGAGAAACAAGGGGACAAGGAGGCUCUAGCGAAGGUACACAACCUUGCGGGUUUUUGCAUCCAAUUUUCUCUCAUUAUUUUCGAUCUUUGAUACAAUGAUUGCUUAGGCCUCUCGUGAAAGCAUCGAGAAGCAAAUUAAUGAGGGAAUCUUACAAAUCGAGUCAACAAAAGAGAGUUCCGACACAGCAAAGGAAAUUUCUUCACUUGCCUUGAUAAUUGAUGGGAGGUCAUUGGAGUACUCCCUCAACAACGCUUUGGAGAAACCAUUCUUUAAGUUGGCUAGUAAUUGUGCUUCUGUCAUAUGUUGCCGGUCUUCACCAAAACAGAAAGCUCGUGUGAGUAUUUAGGAUGUGCUAUUUGAAUUUUUUUCCGUAAAAAUAAUGGAAAUUUCUUGUAUAUAAUCACAUCAGCCAAAAAAAUAUGCAGGUUACAAAAUUGGUGAAGUUGGAAACCGGGAAAACAACUUUAUCUAUUGGUGAUGGUGCAAAUGACGUUGGUAUGCUUCAGGAAGCUGAUAUUGGAGUUGGAAUUAGUGGUGCUGAAGGGAUGCAGGUCAAACAUAUAUUUUCUUGAAUUUAUUUCGAUUGUUCUAUUUGAGUAUAAAUAGUCCUUUAGGUCCUUAAAUGUUUCACAUGCUGUCACUAUAGUGACACUACCUCACACAUUUGAGGAUCAAGAUGACUACUUACUCCGUCUCUGUGAUAUUUAUCGGUUCUUGAAAUAGUCAUAUCCCCCAUGUCUACAGAAAGUUAAGAAGUUGAAAAUCAUUUUUAACUUAACUCAAUCUACCAUGUCCUCACGCACAUAUGUUCUUAACUCUUUUGUGAUCUUCUACGUGUCGUCUUCUUAAUAUGUAAAAUUAGUGAAAAAUUUCAAUCAUACAUAAUCAACCUAGUCAUCAAACUUAUGAGUUCAACAUAUAAACUAGUUUUAGACUAAUUUCGAAUCAUACUCUACCAUUUUGAUGCUCUAGAUUCUAGAUGGAUGUACGUGUAAAACUAGUUCAAACUGUCCGUGUGUAGCUAUUAAACUCUGAUUAUCAUCAAGUAACAAAUAGAAUUGUUAAGUGGUUCAGCUGAUCCAUCUAAAUCAUCAAAUGUUUUAUUUCUCAAUUAUGUUCUUCUUUUCUUAAAUAAAACCUUAACAUAGUAAGUAUAUUAUUUUGAAAAAAAUACUAUUUGUUGUCUACAGGCUGUAAUGGCAAGUGAUUAUUCAAUCGGACAAUUCCGUUUUCUAGAGCGUUUGUUGUUGGUGCAUGGCCAUUGGUGUUAUAGAAGAAUAUCAAUGAUGGUAAAAUCAUGCAUCCAAAUAAAUCUGUGUUUGUGAAUAUAUCAUGUAUGUUAUUAUUUAGGAAACUUGAUCCGCAAGAAACUUGGUCACUGAUAUCUUGUUUUAUUUGCUGAUGCAGAUAUGUUACUUUUUCUAUAAAAACAUUGCAUUUGGAUUUACCCUUUUUUGGUUUGAAGCAUAUGCUUCAUUCUCCGGUCAAGCCGCUUACAACGAUUGGUAUAUGUCAUGUUACAAUGUGUUCUUUACCUCACUACCAGUAAUCGCUCUAGGUGUUUUUGAUCAGGAUGUUUCUGCCAGACUUUGCCAAAAGGUACUAAAUUUUCAUUCUUUAAUUUUCAUUCCAUAAUUAAGGAACCCUUGGUAGAUAUGUACAAUUUUUAUUUCCGUAAGUCAAGAGCAUUUAGUACUAAAAAUGUCAUUAAAUAAUGAUAUAGGUAAAUUUUAAUCAAUCUGAAAUUUGUUUCUCACACAUUUAACUUGUUCGGAUUUUACUUGUUUGAGUUUAUUUACUGACAUAAACACUUGCGAUAUGUCCAUAAGCUGUUUUCUUCUUAUUGGGGUAAGCUUCCUAGGAUAGUUUAUCAAAUCAACUAAUAACUUAUAUGAAAAUAGCUUUACUUUAUUUUAUCUAUGGUGGAAAUAAGAUAUAUAUAUAUAUAUAUAUAUAUAUAUAUAUAUAUAUAUAUAUAUAUAUAUAUAUAAGCACUUACAUGAUAUGCGUUUAUAGCAUAAAACACUUAAUUGUGUUGUUUAUCCAAAUAAAAGAUACAUAUGAUUGAACGUCCCUUAUAUAACAUUUUUACAUUGUCAAUGUGUAGUUAUUAAAUUUCGUAAUUACUUGAAAUCCAAGAAACCUUGUGCUAAUCAAACUAUUUUUAUAUACAGCACCCGUUUCUAUAUCUAGAAGGUGUAGAGAACACCCUCUUCAGCUGGACUCGGAUUAUCGGCUGGAUGUUGAACGGAUUCCUUAGUUCCUUGCUAAUCUUCUUCUUAACCACAAAUUCCGUCUUAAAUCAAGCCUUCAGAAAAGACGGUCAAGUGGUAGAUUUCGAAAUACUCGGUGUCAUAAUGUAUACUUGCGCAAUUUGGGUUGUGAAUUGCCAAAUGGCACUUUCAAUCAACUACUUCACUUGGAUCCAACAUUUUUUCAUUUGGGGUAGUAUUGUCCUUUGGUAUGUGUUCUUGGUGGUUUAUGGUUAUAUAUCUCCAACCAUAUCUACAACAGCUUAUAGGGUAUUUGUGGAAGCAUGUGCUCCUAGUCUUUUAUAUUGGUUAGUUACCCUUUUUAUUGUUGUUUGUGUUCUUUUACCAUAUUUUUCUUAUAGAGCUUUUCAAAGUAGGUUUCUACCAAUGUAUCAUGAUAUAAUACAAAGAAAACAAGUAGAAGGGUCUGAAUUUGAGAUUUCUGAUGAGUUACCUAGACAAGUUCAAGGUAAACUAAUACAUUUGAGAGAAAGAUUGAAGCAAAGGGAACCUUGAAAUAUGUAAAAUGUAAAUAUGGUUUGAAACUUACAUUCUUGGAAGUGGAAUUGUAUUUGGUUUGUUGCUUAGUUUGAAAGUGAUAUUCAUUUAGUGAGCAUUGGAAAUAGCUUUUUUUAGAGUUUAUUUCAUUAUUUUUAUUUAUUUUUACAUUUGACGUAGAUUAGCUAUGUAAAGGUUGUAUAUAUUGUUGGAAUUUGUUAAUGGAAGCAGAUAUACAUAGUUUGAUUUAUGCUUUGUGUGUGUGUGUGUGUGUGUGAUCUUAUCAUGUGGAGGAAGUUUUGUAAACAACUUUUUUUUUCUUAACCAUUCGGUUCACAAAGAAUACGGUUAUGAUAAUUCAAAGUUUGACCGAGAAGUAAGUAAAGUCUUAUUAAAUAUUGUACCAGUAAAUUAUCGUAGGAGAUAACAAUGAUAAUGAGCUUUCUUCAAUAUAAAAUGAUAAGAGAAAUAAAAAUUAUGAUUAGUUUAUCUAAUAAGAAAUAGAGUGAAAUUAAAAUUUUGGAAGCAGAACCUAUGGUUAUUUAAGUUGGGUAGAAAUAGGCAAAUAGCAAUGAAGUUAGGUUAAAAGAGAAUAAUAAACAUUUUUUUUUACUUGGUUGUGGAAAGAAAAUAGAAAGACAAAAAAUAAUAAUGUGGGCUUUAGAGUGAAGCUCCGGUGUAGUGCUACCCACACCCCUCUUUUGCUAUCAACAUCCAUUCCUUUAAUGUAAUUUAUAUAAUCCAAAGUGCUCAUCCGUCUACACUAAGUAAACACAUCUCUUAUCAACAAGUAAUACAUUUGAAAUUUAUGAGUUUGUUUAUUUUGUAAAAAUAUUUUCUAUUUUCAUUAAGAAACUCUUGAUGUGAUCAAUUGCCUGCAUUUUCUAGACAUAAUGAAAUUUUCUAAACUAUUUUUAUUAUUUAUAGAAAUGCACCAUUCGCAAAUAGCAUUUUAUCUUUUCUCUAUCAAAUUUAUCAUAAAUUUCUUCUAAAGUGAACAAUUUAUAGAGGGCGGAAUAUGUUCAUCGUAUACAUUUAAUUAUCAUUUUUUGUUCUGAGGAACAUACCAGCAUUACUCACACACAUACACACUUAGUGUUGAGAAAUGAGAAAUUAAAAAUUUGAGUUGUACUUAUGAGACUAAGUUUAAUCUUAUAAUCCACACAUCUAAUCUUUUAUAUAAUUUGAGAUGUACUUGCCGGACCAAGUUUAAUCUUCUUUACUAAUUUUUUCAUCAAUUUGGACUCCAACUAUUCCAAGUUUCUAGAGCUGGUCCUCGUGACGUGGUUUGCACUAAGUGAAAAAAUCAUGUGGAAAUUAAUGCUUGCAUUUUCAUUUGUUCUUUUAGCAAAAAAUGACCACUAGGAUCAUAUCUAGAGAGUGAGAGAAAAAAACUAGGAUAAAAUAUAGUAAAAAUUGAACAUAAAUGUUUUGCGAGAGGAAAAGCAAAUUCAACCCUAAAAUUAAAUGGUGAUUUUAGAUUUCUAAUUGGAUAAUUAAUUAUAUAUUUAAUUAAUUGAUAAUUAAUCAAAUAUUUAGUUCAACAAUUUCAAAAGGGCUUUUGCUGCAGUUAAGUUUGAUAUUGCAAUUUAAGAAACACAAAGUUUAUGGAGACUAUACCUUUGGCCAUGAUGCACUAUUAAGAGACAAAUUACAAACCCUGUUAUUUUAUGUUUGUAGUACUUUUAUAAGAAGAAUUUCAUUUUUUUUCUCAGUUGUAUGGAUCUAAAAUGGCCUUGUAUAAGUGAGGAAUUGACUAUAUUAUAGCCAUCUUUAUAUGUUUUACUAAUGAUCACUAAAUGUUUCAGUAAAAUAUCUAGUUCUGAACUAUGAAAAUGAAUUGUUUUGUUGUAAAUGUUCUAUGAUAAGUGUUGUGGUUAUGUUUUUGGAUUUACAGGUCACAAUAAUGUAUCUUUCUAACCUUCUCAAAUCUCCUCGCCUUGCUCGGAUAUUCUAUGUUGCUUCAUACCGAGCAAUUCUUCCCAAGACCCAACAAUCACAUGUAGUAGAUAUUUCAUUCCUUGCUACACUUUGGUUUAAUAUUUUGUGCAUAGAUAAUAUGCUAUUAGGGGUUUGUUUUUAAUUUCAUCAUCAUUUGAUUUGUUUUUUUGAAUUAAAAAUGACCCUAGUUGUGCUUUUCUGUUUAGCUUAAGCCUUUUAUUUUCUCCAUUAACGUGUUGGGUUACAUUUCUCUAAUGUUUUCACCUUAAUAUUGCCUUUCUUUUUAGCUUUAGCCUUUUGCUCUCUCUAUUAACUUGUUGGGUUACAUUUCUCUUAUGUUUUCAUCCAAAUUAUAGAAAAUUGAAAAAACCACAAAAAUUUAAAGAUGACAAAUAAAAAAAAUUGUCUUUCGUUUCGUUUUAAAUCUGACGAUCAAUUUUAUUUUUGGUCUUUAAUUUCCGUAUUUAUUUCAACUUUUUCUCAGAGUGUAAAGGAAACUAAUAAUGUUAAUAUCUCCUUAAAAAAAAUAAUGUUAUAUCAUUCCAUAGUAUGGUAGCUCAAUUAAGAGGUAUUUUUAUUUGAAAAGGUCAAAAUAAAAUAUAUUACUAAAAACAAACAAACUCUCCAACACAAGAUGUAUUCGAAGAGAAUGUCUCAAAAGAGUUUAACUUACAAUAGAAUCUCAAUGUGCUAUUAGGUAAUAUGUGUCAGUGAUGAAGUUUUUAACUUUUGAUGCCACAAAUUCAUGAGGCUGAUAGUGGGUUAGUGAGGUUAACAAACAAUAUGGGGAGGCUGCAUGGGAAAAUUCUACCAUAUGCCCACUAUGACAAAUCCAGCCAUCAUAUUACAUUAAUUAUAUACUAAUAUUAAUAAUUUGCAAUGAGCAAUAGGGUGGCUAGCUAAUGUUAAUAAACAUUUAUUUAGUUUAUAAUGAGGGUUUAUGCUCGUAUACAUAUAGAAAUGGAGCUCUUUUUUAAAGAUUUGGGGGUUGAACAAAUAUUUGUGAUUUAUCAUUAUUCAGUAGUUUUGUGAUCAUUACUAGUUUACUAGAGUGUAAGGCGGCUGCAUGCACGUGCAGAGUCCCACCAUUGAUUUUUUUUGGGUACAUUUUUAUUUUAUUUAUAACCUAUUGAAAUUAGAGUGUUUGAUGAAUCGUUUCAACGUAUUUCCAAAGAAAAAUAUCGAAUAUAUGUACUUGAUAAAUAACUUUUUGUUAGAACAGUUUCUGUAUAUAAUGUAAUGAUUUUAUUUGAAGAAUUUUUUUUUUUAUUAAAGGAAAAGAAAGUACUAAAAACAAGCAAACUAGUCACUUCUAAAGAGUUAGCCUACGAAGUUCGGGAGAACUAAUUGCGUGGGAGGAGAACUCCACAUUUCUAUUGCCCCAAACUUAACUAGACAAUCUUAAUUAAAAAGCUCUGCAUUUUCUACAAUUUGUUUCCUCGUAGUCUCUACAUUUUUUACCCUAACAAUGACUUAAUUAAUUUCCCUUACAAAAAUAUGUCUUCAUUAAUUUCUAAACCAAUAAUAAUAGUUUUCAAAUAUUACUAAUGAAUCUCCAAAAUUUUGACUAUAAAUAUCAGUGUCCUACAUCAGAAGGGUAGAAAGUCGUCACCAAUUAGGUGUGCAAUAAGUUGAUAGAGUAACAAAAUAACAAUCAACCAAUAAAUAAAUAAAAUUAGGAUGUUUAUUUUAUCCAUAGGCAACUCGUUAUGUGAAUCAAUCAGCACUGUCGUCACAUAAAAUUAUUUUAAUACAUAGCUAGUUUAUGGUUUAUAUAAUAUAUAGUUGAUUAUUAUUAUAUAGAUGAUCAACAUGUCUGUGUCAGCAUUCUAAUUAGGGUCUCCUCUAAGUUUGCUGUCCAAGCAAUGUUGCAUUAUAUAUUGAAUUAUUAAUUGUUUUUCUUCCCCAAGAAAUAUCAUGUUUCAAUCAAAAGUUAUUCUCUUAAACGUGACAAAUCCACUAAAAUAUAUCUACGUCUGCGUAUUUAAUAUUUGAUAUCUUAAAUUAAGAUAAUAUUUUGAAAACUAAAUAAAAUAAUCUAUUUUUCUUUUAGACAGGCUGAUAAUAUUUUUUCUUAAACAAGUUAAUAUGGAAGAGACUAUGUUUCAUUCAAGUGUUUUUUUUAAAUGGUUUAAGUGAGCUGGAUUUCAAGAACUCAUUUGAACUGUAACGUAUUUUAACAUUCAACAAACGUUAACAAAAAUUCUAAUAUAUCAUUCAUUAAAGAGUGCAUCACGUUUGUAACAAAAGUUGAAUCCACACUAUCUUACAAAUGACAAAUAUUUUAUCAACAAAAUUAUUGUUUGAUUACUUCAUUCAAGUACUUUUUGAUAAAGAGUAAUAAUCUAAAACUUUCAUUAUUAUAACUCAAAAAUAUAAUAUUCAUGCAAUUUGUCUCAUUCAUUCACGUCAACCCUGGCGUUUUUUUAAUAUAUAAAAUAUAUUGAUACAACAUGAACUGGAUUUUUGCUUCUAGAAAAUAUCCAUGAUUUGGGCCAUAAGCAAGCAUGCAUUAUUAAUGUGGAUUCUAGAAUGAGUCGAUCAAGACUUAAAAUCAAAUACUUUUUAAUGGUGUAACAAAACAAAAAAAAAAAAAAAACAUUUUAAUGGAAGCUGCCAGGAAAAAAUUGGUGGAUUAAUCGGUUGUUAGUGGAACUAUACUUUAUUUUUUCAUCAUUACAUUUAGCUAAAUUCUUUGGACUUACUUUCCGACUUAACGCUUGACAUGUUUUUUUUUUACAAUAUUAUUGUACUUAGUUUUUCAUUUGUUAGAGAAAAAUUUACGUGAUUCAAUUUUAGAUAGUUUAUUAGGAUAUGAAGAGAUUUUAAGAUUCAGAGAGCGUUUACAACUAAAGAGACUUUCACAUUGAUCACGAAAGUUAAACUCAAGUCAUUAUGAGGUAUGGAUCGACGCCCCAUACAUACCAAUUAAAUAAACUUUGGUUUGGCCUAAUAUUAAUUAGAGAUGCUGUUUUACAAGAAUGGCUCCACGAAGUUCUUAUGGGUAGGUACCAUGCCCAUGAAUCGUGGGACGUGCUAUACACUGUACGUAAUAUACACACUCAUAUAAUCCACAAAAGAAGGGAUUUUUGUUUUUUCUUUUGAUUUAUGUGGGUAGCAUGGGAUGGAAUAUAGAUUAUAAAACUUAGAUAUAGUGCAAAAAGUAUAUUUUAGGUAUGAGAAAUGAUAUUUGAACAAUUAUUUUUUGACAACUUUCUCUCCGAUAUUUACAUUAUCUUUUUAUUUUCUCUCUCUCGAUUACUUUGAUUUUUGUGUCACUAUCUAAAUUCUUUUGUAUAAUUUAGUUGUAUAAGAAGUUGUCACAAUAAAGGAUUGUUCAAAUAACAUUGCUCUUUAGAUAUUGUAAACUUAAAGCAUACCAAAUUUAAUUCUUAGUACUGAAUUCAAGAAUAAUUGUGCGUUUUAAAUUAAUAGAGAGGAAGAAAAAGAAAAACGUUGGCCCUUGGUGAUCAAUCUCAUGACUCCUAUUAUGCAGUGAGUUAAAAAAAAAAACACAAGUUACUGCUAUCAAACCACUCCGAUUAUGAUCAAAAUAUCCAAUUUUAUGUGACUGAUGUGCGUUAAAAGUUUAACAUUGAAUGCAAUAAUAUCCGUACAUAAGUUAUGCUCGAUCCAAAUUCUAAGAUUAGGUCCCAAUAAAUUUGAUACUAGAAUCAACAUGCCAUGAACAUAUGAUGUUAAGCUAUCAUAUGACAUGUGAAAAAGAUGUUAUUACAUGGAAGAUUUAAUUUAAAUGUACUUUAUUAAUUGUUUAUACUAACCGUAAAUCAAAUUUAAUAUAUUUACUAAACAGUAUUUUUCUCUUCUCUUUCCCUAAAAAAAAAAGUAUUUUUCUAUUCUAUAUAUUUUUUUCAUGGGUCAAAGACAAAUUUGUUAUCUUUCAAAGUAUUCAAGUAAUUAAUUAUACGUUCAAUUCAUUUUCCCAUUCUUUUGUUUACUAGUAGUAUUAUUAUGGGUAAAAGAAUGACUGGAUAGAGAAAGAACCUACAUACAUUUAUGAGUAAAGACUUCCAUUACAUGAAGUCAAGAUUGUAAACUACUUAGAUGCAACUUUUCUAGAUGUGACAUGGCUGCGAAAGUGAUAAUUAAAUCCUAAUAUAUGCACUUCAAAUGUAUGCACUUCAUAACUAGAUUUAUUUAUUGUGGUAGUUGUGGAUAUUUUAGUUUUUUUUUUUUUUUUUUUCGUUUGGUUCAAGUUUGAGUAUGAAUAUAUUAGAUUUGAUAGAAUGAUAUGGAUGUAAACAAGGCAUGCUUGUCCGCCAGAAGUCCAUAGUUAAGCUAACUAAAUGUUUGAGUAUGAAUAUAUUAGAUUUGAGCUUAUGAAUUAUAAUUUAUAAUUUAUAAGUUCUUAUAAUUAAAAAGGAAAUGCUAAUUUGUGCACUUAGGAUACAAAAUAAAGAUUUUAAAAUAGAAUUAAAUUAUAAAUAUUGUAUUGAAAAUAUAAGUUUUUAAGGUUAUAAAUGCACAAUUUUCAAUGCUAAAUUUUUUUAUUUAAAUUCUUAUGUUGUGCCCUUAGGACACAAUUUUCAUUUUUACACGAGUUCAUAGCUUAUUCUCAUGAGCUUAUAAUGUUUUUUGAUAAGUUAAUUCAAGUAUCUUAUUACUUGUCACUUUUUAUCUUCAUUUUACCCGCUACAAUCUUAAUUGAAAAUAUAUUAAUUAAAUUAAUAUUUUAUGUCAUUUCAUAUUUAUAAGUUAUUUCAACCGUUAAUUUUAUCAAACACUACAAAAUCAAUAAGUUAGUUUGUUUGUAAUCAAUUAUAAAUUAGCUUAUAAGUCACAUAUUAUAAACUCUUAUGCUAUAAGCUAGUUUACCAAAUAUCAACUAUUUUUUUUACCAAACAAAGCCUAAAACAAUUUGUAAAUAAACAAUAUCAAUAAAAAAAUAAUUUAGAUAAAUAAUACACCCUCGUAAAUACAAUUCAAAUAGCUAACAAAUAAUGUUAGGAAAGAAAGAAAAAGAAAAAAAAAAAGAUAAUUUAUAAUAUAGGCUAUAGUAAGAAGUAUAUGACACAUGUGAUUGAUCAUCCAAACAAUAAGGUAAUUUCAUGUCUAAUACUUCACAUAGUUGUUAAAGUAGUACUAGUCAUGUCGUCAAACGCUAACAUGGACGAGUUGUACACGUGAAGGCUAUAGGCAUGAACCAGCUAUGUCUAUCUUCACGUGUAUUUCUCCAUGUUAGCAGCUCCAUUAAGUCGGAUACGAAGUUGAGAGACUGACCAAAAUCGAGCAAAUUGAAUUAGUUUACAUAGAAUUCAUUAUACAUACAAAUUUACAGUCGAGGUCUUAAGUUUAUAGAAACUUAUCCACCAGUGCCAACAGUUGUUUCAUCAUAUAGAUAUUCAAAGUACGUACCCCCCCAUCCACCAAUGUCCAUCCAAUUAAUUUAAACGUACUGUAGUAAUCAAAUCUAGAAACAAUAUGUAGCGUUACAUAUUAUGGUAGAUGUAUCACACAUAUACACAAGAAUAUAACCUAAAAUUUAUAUCACAUUGCUAUUGGUUGAGACUUUCCAUUACCCUAAAAAGCCAUAGCCAUUUAUUUUCCAACAACUGUUUCUUCCCAUCUUAUAAACCACAACUUUCACAAAGUAAAACGUUUUUUUUGUUCUUGAUAAUAAUACAGUAAAACGUUAUUUUCAUAAUUAUGCCUUUCCAUUUGUCAAAAAAUAAUAAUGUCUUUUUCAAGUGCAAGACACUUUGCACCAAAUUAGUAUACAAGCAAAACGAAAUAUUUGUUUGAACAAAAAAAGGGCUUUGUUGGUGUGUGUGACAAGUCAAUGCAAAAUGUGUCAACAUAAAUCAAACACAAAUGGUUGAAGAUAAAGAAAAA